GUGUGUGUGUGUGUAUUUAACAAAUGAUAUUAUUUACAUUAAGGGGAUGAAGGAGUGGGCUAAGUCGCACAAUGGGCUAACAAUAAUAUGAUUCAAAUUCGCAUUUGGCAAUAAUCGAACCUGAGAUCUCUCAUUUACUAAGUGAAGAAGAAUACUACUAGACUGUAGUACUAAGUGACAACUGAUUAUAUUAUUAUAUUUGGUGUAACGAGUCGUGUGCUUAGUACAAUGAAAAAUCUUUCGUAGUUUUGGGCAGUGGAAGUCAUUUACUGUAGUCUACUGCUCAUACAAGAAUUAUAUGCUUAUAGUUGUAGAACGAUAGUUAGAGUUCAUCUACAAACAAUUUACUCUUCCAAACUUUGUAAUUAGUAUUUUGAUCAAUUUACCAAGUUUUUACACAUUAAUAUAACGUAGGAAAAAAAAAAAAAAAGAGAUGACCAAAGUGGAUAAAUUAAUUUAUCUAAAGUGGUUCGAAAUUGGCAAUAAAUCACCCAAGAGAGAAACAUCAAACUUAAGCAUUAAGUAUGAUGUUAGAAAGGGAAACAAGGUGGAUAUUUGAGAUUUUUCGGAUAGCAUGAGUACAAUACAAGCGUGACAAAAUUCGGCAAGGUGUAUAAAGAGUACUUUCUUUCCUGUUACGUUUUGGGAAUAUUACAAAACAUUUAGGGUUACUUAGAAUCUUUAAUUUUCUAUUUAAGUCAACCUAUGAAAUUGUAUUCGCUAGAUCUGUUAUAUUUUCGAUUUAUGUUCUUUCAUCCUCUUGUUUUCGAUAAAUUCUAACUCGAUGAAUUUGUAACCCAUCUGAUCAAUCUAUGUGUGGAAAAUCGACUGAGAAGACGCAAAUAGACCCAAGCCACAAACUAACUUUUGAAAAAACCGUUACAAUCAGGUUCAGUCAAAACCCUUGAAGUGCCAACCACUGUUCCCGCUCCAAAGGCGUACCCGAUUCCGUACCAUCCUCUCUCCCUCUCACCCUCUCACCCUCGCCUAUUUAUAAUCUCCACCGCUUCCAAAUUUGACAAGAAAAAUCUCUAUCACCCCUUUAAUUUAAUUCUCUGUAUGUUUUUUCGCAUCUAAACUUCAACUAGCUCGCCAUAUACGUCAGAAACCCUAACCCUAAAGACCGUAGACUCAUAGUAUGUUUUCACGGGCAUCUUCGAGGGGAUCCUCAGGGUCCAUCCACCGGCUUUUUUCGGAUGUUAAAAGCCUCAGCUCUCGUCCUCCAUUCAACAAAUCGCAACCCUCCUCCUCGGUCGCUUCAUCGCCAUCUUCUUCUUCUUCUUCACUCAGCUCAUCGGUUGGCAGAUUUGGCUAUGGUGGCAGUCAUAAUGGUAGAUCAGGCUCCGAUAACACUUUUGAUUUGUUGCUGAGAUCCGUUUCUUCGGGGGUUCUGAUUCUCGGGACCAGUCUAGGGUUUUCGUAUUGGUCUUCUUCUUCUCUGGAUCCAAAUUCCUACGUUUCUUACGCUGAUAAUUAUCCCAAGGAGGCGGCAUUUGCAAUCGGCGAAGAUACAAACAAAACUCAGUUUUCCCUCUUUGAUGGUACCUUGUUUGUUUCUUUGUUUUCUUCAACUUAUCUGUGUAUCGUGUUUUCCGAGGUUUCUGUUAUGUUUUACCCUGAUGGAUCUCGUCUCAGUUUCAUAUAGGAGAAGAAAAUUCUUUACGUAUGAAAAGCGGCUCCGAGAUCAAAGUCCUCCGGAGAAGGUAUGGAUCAUGCACUCCUCGGAAAAUUGAUUUUUAUAAGUUGUAAUUUUGUUUGUUUGAUGAUUGUCGUGGUUGCAAACACUACAUGCUUGUGUUUUGUGUUGUGUGCUUGUGGUUUUCAGCUAUUCGACUACUUUGCAUCGGUUAAAAACCCCAACGGAGAGGCGUUUAUGACGCCGGCAGACUUGAUGAGAGCGGUGGUUCCUGUAUUUCCUCCCUCAGAAUCAACCCACGUUAGAGUGGGGUCUCUGAGAGGGGAGAAGGUUCCCAGCAAGCAGCAGUACGCUCCUUCCAAAUUCUUUAUGCUUUUCGACACUGACGGAGAUGGCCUGAUUUCCUUCCCGGAGUGAGUAAUCUUGAUACCACAAUGAUUCUAGCCUAAUUGAAAUUUGUUAAGAUCUAAAACAACGUAUACGUGUUCCUUCUUGAUAUGAUCAGGUUCAUCUUCUUCGUCAACCUCCUCAGCAUCCCUGAAUCGAGCUUUACGAUUGCGUUUAAAAUGUUUGAUCUCGACAACAGCGGGUGGGUUAAAAUCGCCAUCGCCUUCUCAGUCGUAAAAAUCUUUCAUUGUAAUGUACUGCUAGUAGAAAACUUAAUUAACUUGUUACACUUGUGAUUCACAGAGACAUUGAUAAGCUGGAGUUUAAUAAAGUCAUGUCCUUGAUGCGAUCUCAAAGCAAACAAAACACGGAUAGCCACAGGCUCAAUGUUUCUGUCGAAGACGGAGGCCUACUCGAGUACUUCUUCGGCAAAGACGGCAAAAAAAGUCUAAAACUUGAAAGAUUUGUUCAGUUUUUCCGGGAUUUACACGAAGAAGUAUGCGAUUUUUUCUUAGGGUUGUGAUUGUAUCAAGCUAUUUUUUCUGUCAGCUGAUCCUUUUCCUGUCUCUUUUUCUUCCUCUGUUUUCGAAUUUGAAAGAUUUUGCGAUUGGAGUUUGCUCACUACGACUUCAGAGCACAAGGAACCAUAUUGGCUAAAGACUUCGCGUUCUCCUUGGUUGCAUCUGCUGAUAGCGGUGAAAUAAACAAGUUGCUUGAUCGGGUGGACGAAAUUGAUAAUGACGCACGUCUUAAGAACAUAAGAAUCACAUACAAGGAAUUCAAAGAUUUCGCGGAGCUCCGUAAGAACUUGCAGUCCUUCUCUCUGGCCCUUUUCAGUUACGGAGAAGUUAACGGAGUGUUGACGAAAAGUGAUCUCCAGAGAGCUGCUUCCCGAGUACUCAUCUGAUCUGUCAUUGUCAUUUCUAGGUAGCUUCGUUGGUCAUUAACUAGUAGCUUAUUGUGCUAAUGCUUUGAUCACUUUCAAUUUAUACAGGUAUGUGGCAUCUCUGUUUCUACCAAUGUGCUUGACAUAAUAUUCCAUCUAUUCGAUGCAAAUGGUGACGGAGAUUUAAGCGCAAAUGAGUUCGUGAGAGUUUUACAAAGUCGGGGAGGCGAAACGCAAGAGACAGGCAUAAGGGGACUCCUAUCUUGCUGGUUUAAUUGUGCUGGUAAAGCUUUUGGUCAGAACAACUGCAGCUCUGGUUUCUAAGAUCAUACAUGGAUUACCUUCAACUCACGUAACCAAAUGUUGUUUACGGCUCUAAUCUAGGGUUGGAGCCGAAAAGAUGUAAUUAGCGAAUCUGGCUGGGUUUGUGAUUGAAGGAUUAUAUAUCACAGCAGGCUGAUCUUACCAAUUUUUGUAACCCUACAUAACCAUAAUCACUUCAAACUAAUACAUAAGUGCAGAUAUCUUUGUUAAUUUGUGUACCAAUAUUUUCUGCUAAUGGCGCCGAUUUUGCACAACUGAUACGCAUAACAUCACAGAUAUUUAGCAUCAAGGACAAGAUAAGAAUUGCAAAAUCUAAUCCGAAGAUCAUAACGUAUGCUAGCAUGAGAAACCAGUAUUCGGAAAGAAAUUUGAUUGAGGAAACACAUUCAAUGUCUUGACAUUGAUGGUCUUCAUUGGCUAUUUACACACAAAAAUACAUGCAUAAAUGCAGUGAAAGCAGACCAUAUCAAGACUCCAACUGAUCCGAAAAAUUCUCUCCGAAAGCCUAAUGCACUGCUAAUCGAUCAUAGCAACUACAAGGCAACAAAAGAAUUCAUCUUCUGAGGCUUACCCGGCUCAAGUGCAAGGCGAGGACAUCCCUCAUCCGCUCGUCACUCUCGUUCACUUGUCCAUCAAAAACAGGAAGCUCCUCCUCCUUUAAGCCCCUCACAUUGUCAUCUGGCAUCGGCUCGCUACACUUGAUAAGAAAGUUAUGCAGCAGACACCCUGUAACCACCACAAACGGCAGAAACUCAGCACACUCUUCCUUCCACUGCCUAGCCAAUAGCUGCCACCGCGCCCGAAGCCUCCCAAAAGCUGUCCCAACCAACCCCAUUGCCCGAUAAUGCACCGCAUUAAACGCCUUCUCCAUUGAACCGAAACUAUCCGCCUCAUCCGACCUUACAUAAGGUGUUAGAAGCCAUGGCAAUAGAGGGAAGCAAGAGUCCCCCAGUAUGUACUGAGGAAUGGAAUUCCCAUUCCCAAGCUCAAAAGCAGGACCACUGAGAAAUUCCCUGGACUCCUCCACACCCAAAUAAAGCUUACUCUGCCGGAAAAUUGAUUCCGGUUUCAUGGUAGAGGGCCAUCCGGCGGAGACAUCGAGGAACCUCCCCUCAGAAUCCACCACUGCCUGAACCAACAAUGACCCAUUUGCCCCCAGCAGUUCACCACCAACCCCAAAUCUCGAAAAACCUAAAACCCCACAGCAAUUCGGCAGCGAAAUCCACCCGAACGCCUCCAAGACCCGGGAUAUAUCUGACCGGAAUUCGAACAAGUUCCCCAAUUGAUCGUUCACCGCCUUACAUACGGCGUAAAAUGCGCGGCAGGCAUCCAAGGAGUCGAGCCCGAAGCGCCUUCCGAUCGCCUUGUAGCUCGCGCCGUGGGCCAGGCGGUAAAUUGCGGCGGCGAGGACGAAAUUGGGUGGGAUUGAAGGGAUUGUGGAGUUGAGAAAUGGGGAGAGGAGGGAGAGGAGGACGGAGAAGGAGUGUUCGGACAUGCGGAAGGUUUGGGACCAGCGGAAGUCGAAGUCUCCGUCUGCGGCGGUGGCGGAGAGGAAGCGGCUGAACCAACAUUCUAAAGGCGGCGGCGGUGGGCGUAAUGGCGAUUGCGGUGGUGGGUUGGGGAAGCAGAGGAGGGUGGACAGGGAGAUGGAGGCGGAGGAGAGGAGGGAUUCAAGGGUUAGGGUUUGGGCGGGAAGGAGGAGGAGGUCGUUUUGGAAGAGGAAGGAGUGAGCCGGUGACGUGGCGGCGGUUACGAGGCUGACGAGGUGGUGUUGAUUGAGGGGCUUUUUGUUGUUGUUGCCGUGGGUUUGGUUUUGUUUCUUGUUUCUGGCAUUGCCUUUGGUGGUGCUCGUGGCCGUACCGCCGACUCCGCCGCCGGCAGCCAUUGGUGGUGGGACUUUGGGAGUUUGAUUAGUAACGAGUCAGAUGUUGUGACGUAGUGUGAAAGUGAUUGUUGUGUGCCAAGUAUAAUUACUGCUGAUUACUAUGGUGUUUUUCCUUUUCUUGCUUUUUGGUCCUUCCUAAAACAACAUUUUCUAAAGUGGACUUUUUUUCAAUGGAAAGGGAUCAUCUCCGAAUCCCUUCCAUCAAAUCCACCAAGUUCAAAAAUUCGGACUGUUGAAAUUUGAUUUAACGGCUACAGUUAUUAUAACUUUUAAAGGGCCCCUUGUUUGUAGUCAUUAGAUUAACUUUCAACGAUCCGGAUCUCUGAACUUAGUGAAUUUGAUAGAAGGGAUCCGAAGAUGAUCCCUUUCCUUUUUCAAUGGCCACUUGGUUUUGCUAUAUUUAGAAUUUGGAAAAAUCCCCCUAGGUUAAAGGUACUUUGCUAGAUUCUCAUAUGUAACCCAUUCAUCAUGUCACGAUUGUUUAUUGUGACAAUUUUUAUAAAGUGAAAAUUGUUUAUUAGUUGAUGACACUGCUUAAAUUGAAACUUAAUUGUAUGAGAAAAUCUUUCAUUACCUUUACAAAAAGAAAAACUCUUACUCUUGAGGAAAAAAAGAGAAUCGUGACAUAUUGCUUCAAAUUAAGAUUCAAAAUUCGUGUAAUGAAUAAUUUUCCUUGUGUGUUCAUGAUUCAAAUUAUCUCUUUUCUAGUGUAGUUUAGAGUAAUAGUAUUACUUGUAAUUAGGAAUGGGCAAAUACCCAUUGGUUAUGGGUAAUCGCGGUUACCCGUCCAUUUAAAUUAAACGGUUACGGUUAUGGGUAACUAUUUAGAUAUAUAAAUGGUUAUUGGUAUAACCGUUUACCCGUGAAAUUUAAAUGGACGGUUAUGGGUAUUAACCGCGGUUAUAAAAAGGUAACCGUUUACCCAUUUAUUUUAUAUAUGUAAAACUAACACAAACCAUGUUCUCGAUUCAAUAAUACUUAACACCCAAUAAAUUAGCAAGGAAUUCAUCGGUCAUUCUCUCAAUAACACUACUACAGGAAUGAUGAUUCUCAUCAUCAAGGAAUUGCCCAAAUUAAUUUAAAUUCCUUGCGAGUAACCAUGAAAUUGACAGAAAUGUCUUCUAAACAAUUUUGUAAUCCAAUAAUACUUAGCAAAUAUUAUAUUUACCUUCAUUGGUAACAGUUAAAAAUAUCGUCCGUAAACUAUUAUUUCAAUUAUUAGAAUGGUAUAAGGACUUAACAAAUUAAAAUAUGAAAAUGUAUGAUGAAUAUACCUAUAACGGUGUUUAAUUGUAAAAAAAAAAAAAUUAUGACAAUAUUUUUUUAAUUUUCAAGUUGUUAAAAAACAUGUAGACGGGUGAAAAAAGGGUAAUGGUAAAAUAACAGAAGAUAAACGGGUUAAAAAUGAUAAAUGGGUAAACGGGUAUUAAACGGUUACGGUUAAAUGGGUAUGCAUUUAUGAGUAUGGUUAACCGUUUAUAAACGGUUAUGGGUAUGGGUAUAACCGUUUAGGCAAUUACCCAAUGGAUAAACGGUUAUGCGGGUAUGAGCAUAAACGGUUAUGGGUAAAUAACCGCGAUUACCCGCCCGCUAUAACCAUUGCCCAUCCCUACUUGUAAUAAAGAAAAAACUUCAGAUAAAGUAUGAAUAUUGCCAAAUUAUAAGGUCAUCACAAAUUGGUACUCAAAUAGUCGAAUUUGUCUAAAUCCUGAAACUCACUUGCCAUCUUCUGUUUGAACGAAUUUCUAUCUACAAAACAAUAAACACCAAAGCCAUUGCAAAACAAUAAACACCUUCAAUCUAGGCCAAAGCCACAUGCGUGCCCAUGAGGUGGAGGUAGGCCAUUACAAAACAAUAAACACCUUCAUUGAUUGAUUGUGAUGAGGAUUCCUUACUUUUUUGAGUUGAUCUUCAACCAGAAAUGUAUUAAAGAUGGAAUUUGGACCUAUCUUAAAUGCAUUUGACUUUUUCAUAUCACGAGCUUGGGAGCUUGUAUAGUCGUAGCCAGCCGCUCAAGCCACCACGGAUGUUAUAAUGCAUGUGAGAAUAUUUGUGUGCCCUGCUCAUUCAUUGAGAGCAAUUUUGUCUUUUUAUGAAAAAAUAUUCACUGUGUCAUCUUCUAGAUGUUUGGUAUUAUUUUUGGCUCUACACUCACGACAAUAGGAAAUGUAUUAAGAAUGUCAAUGAACAUGUUACUGCUAUUCACAAAGAUUAAGUGAAUCAAUACACAUGUUACUCAUCCGAAACCUCAUUAGCGGCAUCUUCACUAUCUGCGUCUGCAACCGGAUUAGAUUCUUCCUCUGCUUUGGUUUCCUUGUAAUCCUUGGGGAGCACGUUACAAUCAACGGUCUGCCAAACUGGUCUCUCUGAUUGGAAUGCUCUGUUGGGGAAAAACGCAGUCAUUAGAGCUAGUAGUAACAUACAUCGCAGAAGAACACACGCCACGAAACAUGAUGGAGCGGGGGAGGGAGGGAGGGAGGGAGGGAGGGAGAGAAGGAGACUCACGGGUGCUUGCAAAGUGCGGGGCAUUGGAUUGUAACUGCAUACUUGCAUGUGGAUACCUCUGUGAUUGAAUUAAUCAUAGCUCUGCCCUCUGAGCACACAAAUCUCACCUGCAAAAUGCCAUAUGAAGUAAGGACCGGAUGGAGAAAUGCGGAAGGGAAUGAAAAACUACAGAAAUAUAGUGACGUCAUACCUCAGUCUCUCGUUGCAGGUCUGUAAGAUCACAAGUAGUCCCGUUUGUAUAUUGAUGAGCAUGGUACCUACAAGGCCAUACAAUCGUAUUCAAUCUCUCCUUUCUUAUCCGCAGAAAUAUUUCCCUCAAACUUGCCCGACACAUUUUUGUAAAGGCCAAAUUCCAUACCUUUGGUAUGCGUCUUUUGAGCGUGGAUCUUUGAGUGUAGAUAUGUCAGAGAGGUUCCGGUUGACACCAGCAGUGGCCUCUGCAUCAUAUACACCCAAAACAAAUUCCUGAACCACCUGUAAUAAGAGAAGAAAGUACCCAAUCCACGAGUAUUAUUGUGAGGUUUUAAAUUUUCUGAAAGCGUUCCAACAAGAAAUGAGAAUAUCUAAAAAGAUGAUAAUACGUUAAUAACAACAAUGAAUUGGAAAAGAAAAGGUCAAGAACGUAACAAAUGGAACAAUGACACCGCUCUUGUAGCACAACUACUACAUAUACCACUGUAACCACUACAAGGAUGGGGGACUUGUGGGAAUGCAUCAAAUACUGUGUGCCAACCCUACAUCAAAGGCCAAGAUCACUAGAUAAAUGUGAAAGUUAUUUACACUUCCGUGUAUAUUAUCCCACUUCCUCUCGUUGUAUGCAGUUAUAACAUAUUACAAAGCAUCCAAAAGAAAUAAGAACUAACAAUAGAAGGAUAGAACAUUUAAAUGAGAGCACUUAACAGGCACAUAAGACAAUACCUUAUCAUCUUCCACAUGAAUUUGUCGUAAUCUCUUGUGAUAGCAAAAUUCAUAUGACCACCAACCCUCUUGCUGCAUAAAGGAGUUUGUUAUGUUAGCGUAGUUUGCAGUAAAUGCAUCAUCAACCAAUGGGGGCACGGUAAACAUGUAUUACUGUAGUUUUAUAAGUUAUAUAACUACAAUAGUGAGAGUAUUAAUGUCACGGAUCUUACUCUGACAAAGCAUUGGUCCUCGAGUACUUCAAGCAGUUCAUCCGGUGUCUUCAUUUUAAUUCGUUUCUCAGUUUCCACAAUCAUGCUGCUAAUAUUCUGCUGAAGAACUUGCUUCCCACUCUUGGCCUCCUCCACCUUAGGCAAGUAGCAUAUAAAAUUUUGUCCAUUGUUAUUCAUAACCAGAGACUCCUGGCCAUCAUCCUGCAAUAUUCGUACCCAAUCAUUAGAUCAAGCAUACUACGUAUUUGUGACAAGUGAAAAAUUCACAGACAAAUCAGCGAGGUACACAGAUCUUAUCCAUAAUGUGGAACAAAUAGGUGACAGAAUCAUUUGUCUGAGUCUAUUAUAUGAUACGAUACGAGGCAUGGUUUUGCAAGGAGCAAAUGUCUAAUGCAUCGCUUAUUCUAAAGUACAUAAAGUGUGCAAUUUUGGGAUGGAAACUGUAAACGAAUUGAUAUAUAAUAACUAUUUCGAAGCAUGAAUAAAUCGAGCAUUUUCACGAUCAAUUGGAGAUGAUAAACUUACAAAACAAAGUAUAAAGUCAAGAAAUAUACUUAUUAAAAAAACUGGCAUCAAAUCUUAUAUAUGUGAAAGUUAAACAACAAAUACAAGUAAAAACAAUGGAUAUACUAAAAAUACAGUAUUCCUUACAGGAUGAAAAGGUGAGUCUUCAGGAUGGAAUUCAAUCCUGUAUUUUGGCUCACGAGAGCUGCGACGAAAUGUGCCACCUGCUCAUCAAACGACAAAGAAUCAAAGAACUUAAAUUUGCAGCACAAUAUAUCAAAUUAAACGAACAAACUUUCAUCCAUCGAGUUGAAAUGGUAACAAUUGCUAGACAGCCAAUUGAUCAUCAAAGUAGCCUACAUCAAAUUUGGCCCUUCAAACUAAAAGCUCAACAUGUAUGAACCCUCAGGUACUUUUAAACUAAUUAAGCUAGAAGCUGUAUGCUUUUAACUAAUUGCCAACUAACUGAAAAUUCCGCCAUUGCUUUCGAGCUCGGAAGCUGAUUGACAAUGAUUGGUAGAACGCCAAAAACCCAAAUCCAUACACACACACACACAUAUAUAUAGUUGAGAAAUUUGCAAAAUUUGGUAAGCAAGACAAGAUUUUGUAAUCAAAAAGAGAGAAAUGGCAAUGAAAAAAAGGAUGGGUUUAACAAAUUUCAGCAGAAACAACGAAAUUAUGCAAAGUAUGCGGUAAAUGUAUGGAUUUGGGAAGUGGGCAAUUAACCUAGGUGAGCUGGGAAGAUCUGAUCGGCGGAGACGAGGCAGCUCAGAACGUACAAAACUUGAACCAAAAACACCAACACCUUCAUUUUUUCAACCUCUUCAGAGAAAAAGAAAAGUUGCAGAAACCAGAGAGAAGCAGAGAGAGAGAGCAGGAGGAGGAAGAGGUAUUGAAACCUUCUGCUGUUGCUACGUCUCGAGGAAGAACCAGAGAGACGCAGAGCGGAAGAGGUAUUGAAACCUUCUGCUGUUGGCCAAUAAUAAGAUGCCGCGUGUACAUGGUAUUGCUGACUGGACUGACUAAGUCGAGGUGGUUUUUUUUAUUUUUUUUUUGUGAAAUUGUUGUUGGGCUGCAAAGCCCAAAAUUUUAAUUUGGAAGAUUGGAUUGGGUUGGGCUUGAAUUUGAAACUCCAAAUUGGUGGACUUGGGCUUGAAUUUCUGAACUACAAGUUGGAGGGGUUCGUACGUACCAUCGAAGGCAGCCUCAUAAGCAAAACAGCUUCUCCAACGAACAAGUUUUGAGAUUUGGAUCCCAUUCGGAAAACUCGCCGCACGAUGUACGAUAAACAGUUAGGAUGUGAGAAUCUUGGAUCCGGAGAGGAUCCUCAUCCUAAGUUUUGAUGUCUUGUGCUUGCAGCUUGCCCUCUUAUUUCAUUGCUAUUGUUUCUUGGUCAGAUCUAUUGACUUGGCUUGACAGCAAAACUUAAACAAGACACAACAAGGCAAAAAUGCCUCGACCACAAAUAUUGUAAACAAACAAACAUUCAAGAGGGCGGUGGGCGGUGGGCGGUGGCUUCUAGCUUUGCAACACGCUUGUCUUAACUGCUGACCUUUGUUCAGGAUAUCUCACUACAUUUUUAUGUGUUUUAGCUUAAUAGUGCGUGAUUAAUUUGUGAUACUGUUACGACAUUUUUUCAAAAAAAAAUUCUUCUCCAAACAAACGUUCAACAGGGAGGUGGGCGGUGGCUUCUAGCUUUGCAACAUGCUUGUCUUAACCGCUGACCCCGAUUUGGGAUAUCUCACUAUAUUAUCAUGUGUUUUAACUUAACAAUGCAUGAUUAACUUGUGAUACUAUUACGAAAAAUUAUCAAAGAAAGUUCUUCUCCAAAGAAACGUUCAAGAGGUUGGUGGGCCGUGGCUUCUAGCUUUGCAACAUACUUGUCUUAACCAAUGAUCCCGGUUCGGGAUAUCUCACUAUAUUAUCAUAUGUUUUAACUUACCAGUGCAUAAUUAAUUUGUGAUACUGUUACGACGUUUAAUUAUAGAAUAAUACUUCUCCACAUGUGUAUCACAUUCUAGAAACGUCUUAGAAGUAUACUUUAGUUUAUAGAGGGUCCCCCAACACGCUGUCUUAAUUCCUAAAAAGGCCACUACUUCUUGUCUUGUAAUUGUCCAUGUGAUUUGCCUUGCCACUCGCCGAGUCUGCAAAAACUUUCUUAUGCUUUGUGAUUUUGGCAGUUGAACUUGGCCCGCCAUAUUUGAUAGUUAGUUACUUUCCUUCACAUGCCCACUCAGCCACGUGGGCAACACUCUGGCAAAAAGUUGAGGUUGCCCACUUUUUCCAGUUGCAUGCUUUUCCUCCUGAAAUGACUAUUUUACCCCUCCAUCGUAUUCUUCUCCGUAUUUUUGCUUUUUCUCCUUUUUUUUUAAAUAUUUUUUGUUAGCCAAAUAUUAAAUAAUAAAUUUAAAAAAAAAAAAAACAACAACAAGCAAACAGAAGUCAAUUGCAAAUCCAAGCAGCUCAAUGGUUGGAUCUCUGGCCAUAGCUAAUUGAAAGAGAAAUUUUCAAUGUGUCGAAAAAACAAUUUGAUACAUCAAACAUCAUAAUAAAAGAAAUUAUAACUUCUUUUCAAUAUUCAAUUAUUUGUACUAUGAUACUUGUUAUACCGAGCUGGAUUAACGGCACAUUGAAAAAUCUCUCUAAUCAAAUAGCCCCAAGAAACUUGGAAAUCACGGAAACAAGGGGCCCACCAUCUUAAAUUUUUUAAUUCCUUACUCUUAUUUUUUUUGCAAUUUCAAUAUUAUAUUUUGAUGAAAUACAAAGAAGAUGAAAUUACAAGUUAUCAGAUUCUUCGUCUCUCUGGUUUUGUGGCGUACACGUUAAGCAGUGAACAAAGGCAAAAAUCGUGUCUUCCCGCAUAACAAAAGGAGCCAACGGACAUUGGUCGGUUUUCUUUUCCCCUUCCAUUUCUGGCAACAUCCCGUUCGCCCAGAGAAUUUUCUCUCCUUUUCUCGGCUGAGAUUUUCCUGGAAACGCCGGAGCUUUCAUUUCCCAGAUAAGUUUCUCUCUCCCCAGAAGCUUGGUUUUUCUCAAAGCUUGCUUUUUGAGCUGAAUUGGGGGCCGGCUGCUUCUCUUUCGGUUGGGAUUUGUUUUAAUUUGGUGGGCAGUGACAAAUCCUAAUUUGGAGGGAAAAAGUUGAUGAAUUUGUCAUUUUUAUGGUUGGGGAAAGAUAUCCCAGUUGAGCUUUCAAGGUAGUAGCUUCAGAUUUUCCAGGAGGAGGUUUUUUGGGUGCAUUUGGCUUCUGGGAAAAGUGCUUUUCUUUUGCUUCUGGUAUGCUGCUCUGUGUGUUUCUGAUUUGUUUUGUUGUUGCAUGAGUGAAUCGUGAGAAACUGUUUUGUGUUGAAUUGAGUUUUGGGCUUGGAUUCGUUUAUCUUGUGCAAAGGACUUGUUUGUUUCUCGGGAAAGUUGGGGAAACAGGAUAUUAGUGGUUUUAAUAAGUUUUGUUUCCCUGUUUACUUAAUUGGAUCAGGUACUGAGUUUUGAGCAUUGAGGUCUGUAGUGAGAUUACGUUUGAGUUUUCGGUGUAGCUCAAACGUAUUGUCUGAGUUGUUGAGUUUAUGAUGGGGAAGCAAAGAGGAAAAAAGAAGAAAAAUGCAGGAGAAAUUUCAGGUGAUAGUUCGAAUCAAAGCGAAGUCGGGGAUACUAGCCCGGAAGCCAAUGAUAAGGACACAGAAGCUUUCAUCUCGAUGUCUCAAGAACUGAAGGACGAGGGGAACAAGUUGUUUCAGAAGAGGGAUGUUGAAGGAGCUUUGUUGAAAUAUGAGAAAGCCCUCAAACUGCUUCCGAGAAACCAUAUCGAUGUAUCCUAUCUUAGGAGUAACAUGGCAGCGUGCUAUAUGCAGAUGGGGUUGAAUGAGUAUCCGAGGGCUAUCAAUGAGUGUAAUUUGGUGCUUGAAGUCACGCCUACGUACAGUAAGGCGCUGUUGAAGAGGGCAAAGUGUUACGAGGCUUUGAAUAGGUUGGAUUUGGCUCUGAGAGAUGUUGGCACUGUCUUGAACCUGGAGCCAAAAAAUGUCAUGGCAAUGGAGAUCGCAGAACGGGUGAAAAACGUACUUGAGGAGAAGGGGUUGAGGGUGAAUGACACAGUAAUUGAGUUGCCUCUGGAUUAUGUUGAACCAAGUCAUGCUUUGCAGCCAGGGAAAGUAAUGAAGUUGAAGAGUCGGAAGAAGAAGAAGGGAAAAAAAGAUGCUGGGAUGAAGUCCGAGGAGAAUUUUGAGGAGAAGGCUGAGGAGAAGAUCGAGGAAAAGAAGGCUGUGGACGUAGCUGAGGAAGAGAAGUCUGUGGAAAUAGCUGAAGACAAGAAGGAUGUGGAAAUAACCGAGGAAAAGAAGGUAGAGGUCAAGGUAGUUGUGGAGGAGACAAUCAGCAGCAUAAAGGAAGAAGGGCCUAAAAGAAGUGUGAAAUUGGUAUUUGGAGAGGAUAUAAGAUGGGCUCAGUUGCCUGUAUAUUGCACCCUCCUGCAACUAAGAGAGGUUGUUCGUGACCGGUUUCCAAGCUCCAAAGCAGUUCUUAUCAAGUAUAGAGACCAAGAAGGUGAUUUGGUCACAAUAACUAGUAACGAAGAGCUGAGAUGGGCUGAAGGAUCAACAGAAUCGGAAGGGUCUGUCAGGCUUUACGUAGUGGAAGUUAACCCCAAGCAGGAUCCCUUCUUCGAGAAACUGGAAAUCGAGGAAAACAGGCAACAUAGCGUAGCUGAGAAUGGCGUGGUAAAACACAAGGAUACAAAGAGGCCACCUUGCAUUGAGGAUUGGAUAAUCAGUUUUUCUCAGCUGUUCAAGAACUAUGCCGGGAUUGAAUCUGAUGCAUACUUGGAUCUUCAUGAAUUUGGCAUGAAGCUUUAUUCGGAGGCAAUGGAGGAGACAAUCACGAGUGAAGAAGCACAGGACCUGUUUGACAUAGCAGGAAUGAAGUUCCAAGAAAUGGGAGCUUUAGCUCUGUUCAACUGGGGAAAUGUUCACAUGGCCAGGGCGAGGAAGAAGGUGUAUUUCACCGAAGAUCCUUCGAAAGAAUCUAUCAUUUCAAAUAUCAAAAGUGCAUACGAUUGGGCACAGAAAGAAUACAUACAAGCAGGAAGGAGAUACGAAGAAGCGCUGCAGAUCAAACCAGACUUUUAUGAAGGCUAUCUGGCCCUCGGGCAGCAGCAGUUUGAACAGGCAAAACUUUCUUGGUAUUAUGCUAUUAGCAGCAAUGUUGAUCUGGAGACGUGGCCUUCCACAGAGGUUCUGCGACUUUAUAACUACGCCGAAGACAAUAUGGAAAAAGGCAUGCAGCUGUUUGAGGAAUUGGAAGAGCAACGCCUGACUGAACCGUCCUGUCCAAGUAGUGUCAAGACUCAGGUGCAGAAAAUGGGUUUGAACGGAAUUUUCAAAGACGUAUCAUCAAAUGAAGCUGCAGACCAGGCUACAAGCAUGAGGUGUCAGAUCAAUCUCCUAUGGGGCACUAUGCUCUACGAGCGAUCUAUUGUUGAAUUCAAGUUAGGACUACCUGUAUGGAACGAAUGUUUGGAAGUCGCAGUUGAAAAAUUUGGGCUCGCCGGGGCUUCACCAACAGAUAUAGCAGUCAUGCUCAAAAACCACUCUUCAAAUGAUAAUGCAUUAGAAGGUGAAACGACUCAAAGUUUUGCACUCCGAAACUAAAUCAUUUGCUGCCAUUUCUUUUAAUUACCUUAGACAUUUAAGUAGCUCAUUUUUCUGUUGUUGCAGGUCUGGGGUUCAAAAUUGACGAGAUAGUUCAAGCUUGGAACGAGAUGCAAGAAGCGAAAAAGUGGCAGACUGGAAUUCCAUCAUUCCGGUUAGAACCAUUACUGCGAAGACGAGUUUCCAGAAUUUAUUCUGCCUUGGAGCAUGCUUGAGCUUCACGGUAUCAGGUUUGGGUGCUUGAAAAUGUAGCAUUGCACUAGACACUUUCACAACCAUGUUCCCACGGGUUGGAUCAUAUAAUCAUGCACAUUGAGGUUGGCAUGAUCUGAUUUCUUUACAUCUUGAAUUCGUUCUAUUUCUUUUGGUUGCUUUUCGUGUCACGCUUAAAACUUCGUGUACAAAUUCAUCGUUGAGUAAUUCACAGUGGCUCGCCGCUCGUCUGUUUUGCAGGUUUUCUUGCUACUGCCCUGUAAACUACAUUCAGGCUUCUAGCUAUGAUCUAUUAGUUUUAUACACAGUGGAUAGUUUGUGGAUUCAAAUUCUGAUGUGAGUAGAUUGUUCAGAAACCAAGUUCUUUUCUUUCUCUUUCGAUCGUAAGGAGGGUCGGAGGUGAAGUUGCAGAUCUUCAUUUUAGUCAGUUUCUGCGUUCAUCUGCUUCGCUUUACAGUUUCUGUCCGAAUAUUUGUACUUGUUACUGAAGUGUCGACGUCGACGACGGCAUGUUCUUGAUUGUAUUUUUUGUGAAAUCCAUGUUAUUUUGGGGUUUAAUUCAACAUUAAUUUGAUAAAUGUAGUGUGUUUUAGGGGGAAAAUUUGUACCGGAAUACGAGGUUCAUGUUACAAACAUCACUUCCUUAUUUGUUCUUCCUCUACUUGGUGCGAUGGCAAGUGCCUUCGCCCAUGAGCGGUAGGUCUCGGGUUCGAGACUUGGGAGUAGCCUCUCCAUAAAUGGGGUAAGGCUAGCCGACAUUCACCUCUCCCAGACCCUGCGUAAAGCGGGAGCCUUGUGCACUGAGUACGACCUUUUUUUUUAUUACGUAGGUAAAAGAUCUUGCGAAAACUCAAUAAUUUUAUUUUUCAAAGAAAUUGUGACUAAAUAAAUGUUCGCCCCUCUUCAAAAUGACUUGCAAGAUUUUUCUUUUCACGUACGUAAAAAAUCGUAGAAAACUCAAAAAUCACAAUUUUCAGAUAAACUAUAAGCUAUAACUCAUGAUUCUCGAUCGUUUUCUUAAAAUUCUACAGAAUUCACUUCAAGAUCAAAGAUGAACUCAGCCAUUUGUUUGGCAUCACAUUGCGCCAAAUGUUUUUCCAUCCCCAAUUUCGGCACCCUUUAGAGUGACGGACAAAAUACAUAAAAUCUCAAACCUUACCAAAAACUUGGCGCAAAACCGAGCUAGUUUUAGAAUUCAUACAGCCGACCCCACUUAAUGGGAUCAGGAUUUGUUAUUAAUUAUUUAUCUUAAUCCAUUUGGAGUUAUUAACCUGUACACACAGCUAUCCAAGAGCAGAUGGCAGGCAAUUAACAUGGUAUCUUACACAGCUUCGGAUCUAUUCCGGCCGAAAGCUGACGAGAUUAGGCAGGGCAUCAGACUGAAGCUUCAUGAUCUCGGAUGCGGUCACCUUGCACGAUUCCAAGUUUAGCGCACGUAAGUUCUUCAAAGGCUUCAAGUGCUGCAAUCCGUCGUUGGUAAUGCGAGAAUUUGAAGCGUUCAGUGACACCAAUGCAGUCAAUCCUGCAUUUUUCAGACGAGAAAGAAGCAUGAGAAGAGGUACAGAUGAAAUUAAAAUGCCACGUUCGGUCGCUGAAAUCUGGUCAGAGUUACAGCAACAGAUCACUGAAGCAAUGCAGCAACUGCUCUAGGAGAAGAAAAUAAGAGAACAGAAGCGUAAAAUACCGGAAAUCAACUCCAAAGAGUUAUCGGUCAGGUUGCAGUUCUGUGAUAUAUUUAGCCUUGUAAGACGGGUGAGGUCUUUGAUAUUCUUCACACCGGCAUCAGUCAAUCCUCCACCGCAUAUUUCAAGAGAUUGAAGGUUCUUGAAGUCUGAUUCCACCAACAAAAAUAAAAGCAUACAGAAGUGUGACUUUAAAACGAGAAGAUUACCGCUAAGUUGCGAAAGUUAAAACGUAAAAUCAAAUCCCCCCCGUUCUAUUCUGCAAAUGUUAUAACAUACAUUUUAAACAGCUUGUUCCAGAAUCUGAAAUGUGAGCGCCAAAAAGGUCCAGAUGUGUCAAUCCCGUAAGACCUGCAUCAGCAAGGCAUAAAUUCUUUAACCAGGACAGAAGGCUUCAAGCUUCCACCAAACACACAGGAAGUGAAUGAAGCUAAAACAUUUGAAUAAUUUGAGUGGAAUUCGAUGCUUCUAUCGCAAGAUUUUCUCAACAAAAAGCCGAGCUAUUCCCUCUACGGCUUCAAAAUACACAAAAAUCCUUACUUGUAAUAACUGCAAGUCCAUCAUCAGUAAUUUGGCGAGAAUCCAGAUUAAGCGAUUUGAGAGAUGUCAAUCCAGAUAUUCUUUUCAAGCCACUGUCAGUUACUGGAGUGAACGACAAGUUCAAAUUUUCGAGAUUUUUCAAACCUGGAAGUGAUAACAAACAGCGUAAUAAGAUGAACAUGCACCAAAUAUUACAAGCUGAUUAGCAGAACAAUUAUGCGGUGCAGUUUAACUUUGUACAUUAAUGGCACCUUCAAAGAAUUUGAGCCACAAAAUAACAAGGUAGCUUAAAUUCAUAGCUUCAGCAUACUCUAUAGCUUACGCUGAACUCGGAAAACAUUCAGAUCAUAACUAUGCAACUGUGUGAUGCAAUGCAAUCAUCACCUGAGAGAUGACGAAGCCCACUGCUUCCAACUUCAGUAUCAGAUAGCUCCAAGUUCUUCAAGAUUGACAGCCCUUAAUAUAGAAACAACACCACAAAAUCAAAUAGGCGGCCACGUCUUUCGACCUCAAGCACUUCUAGCAAACAUUUCAUGCUAGUUACGAAUGAAACACCAUGUCCCAUUUCCAAACCAAUUUAAACAAUUGAAAAAAAAAACAGACCAUGCAGACUAUAACACUGUUAUCCAAGUGAAAGAUGGUAGAACCAGAAUAGAACCUUCCAAAUUAGCAAGCCCCUUGUCACCUAUCUUACAGGAAUCCAGGUUCAAGCUCUCCAAUUUUGUUAGACCUGAUACAAGCAAUAACAAAUAUAAACGUUUGAACAAAAGCAAAAACUUAAUAUAACAUACAGAAUAGUUGUAUGUGUGCAUGUGCGUGCGUGCGUGCGUGUGUGUGUGUGUGUGUGAGAGAGAGAGAGAGAGAGAGAGAGAGAGAGAGAGAGAGAGAGAGAGAGAGAGAGAGAGAGACCUUUUAGAUGCAUCAAACAUGCAUCUGUAAUAUUGUUGAAUCCCAAGCUCAAAACCUUCAAGUUUUUAAGUCCUGUAGAAACAGUGUGUAAAAGUCAAGAUUACCAACAAUUCAGCCACAUAAAAAUUAUAAAAAUCGGGUGAAUCGGCAAAAGAAUAUGGUUACUGCGGCAAACUCAAGAUUACCAGCUACUUAGCCAGUUGAAAAUAUAGAAAUUGAGCAAACCCGUUAAACAAAUAGCCAGAACCACGUGGCAACAAAAUUUGUCACUCACCCGAAAACUUAUCGCAUCCUUCAUCAGAUAGAUCGCAUCUGUUGAGAUUUAAGUAUGCCAGGGCAACAAGAGCUGCAAUAGAAACAAUUAGUUUUAACCAAACAUCGGAUGCCAUACUCUUUACCACCUAAAAUAACAGAACAAAAAUUGUGCAAUAGAGACCUUUAAGAAGUUUGUCUUUUAGAAAUACUAAAGUGAACAUUUUCGUUGAAAUGUUGUCGCGGACUUGAGAAUUCUUAUCAGUGUUAUAAACAGAAUCAUUAGAAAGCACUAAACAGCAAAGAGAAAGCAAACCUGAAAUUGACUGCAGACAUGAGGCUGUAACAUUGCAUCCCUCUAAAUUCAGCAUUCUAAGCCUGUGCAAGCCUGCCAUGCACAAAUGUACCAAAAAGCUAUGCGUUAAAAAGUACUGAUAAACAAGCAAUAUGAGGUGUAUUUGUCAGAUGUGUGAGCGUGUGCAUCCUACUACACAAACACAAUUAAGGAGAGGGACAGCAGAAUUUUUGGUGCAUCACUAUGGAAACUACGGAAACAAUAUUAUACCUUUCAAAUAAGAAAUGCCAAAAUCAGUAAUGUUACAGUUGGAUAGCUGCAACUCAUUCAGCUCAGUAAGCCCUGGGAAGUACAAAAACAAGAGCAACAUGAGUUGAUCCAAACUGUGAUUUUGCAAUUAAGAAAGACAGAAAAAUUAAUGACAACACUACACAAAUUCAUCUAACAUUCAAAAAAUACCUGAGAUGGCCUUCAAAUCUGAAUCUGUGAUGCUUCUACAACAUCUUACAUUAAGAGACUUCAGUUUCUUCAAACCUGCAAGUAUACAGUUACAAUUUGUUAACCCCCUAUGAAUCACUAAUUUCAUAUACUAAAAUCUUUCACUAAUCACUCAAAUUGUAAACUCGUGACAGUGCAACAGAGCUCACGGCCUCAGUUAGAUUUAUAUACUCCUAAUUCUCAUGGCCUCAAGAAGUUCCAUUUAGUUAAACGGUCAUAAUUCAUUUUUUAAGCAGGACAAACCUUUAAGAUGAACAAAUCCACCAUGAAUAUCUGAACACCUCUCCAGGUCCAACUUUUCCAAGUUAAGUAAGCCAGAGAAAGCACUCAUCCCUUCAGCACCUAUUGCAUCGCUCCUUUUAAAACUUAAGGAUGUCAAGUUUGAAAGACCUACAAAACAAGGUCAGAAUAAGCAUUCACAAUCACAUGAAAAGUUUAACUGAUAAAAAAGACUAAGUGGAAUUACUAAGGAAAGGAUCAAAUUAAAUUAACUUUAUCAUCUCUAGCAAUAAACCGUAUCGUUAAGUGACAACUUAGCACAAAAUAAACAAGAUAAAUGAAAAAUGCUUAAAUUGGAAAAAUAGAAAAGAUACAACGAAUAGAAGACAGAGAUUUUACCACUUAUGAGUUUAAGUCCCUGUUCAGAAACAUAGUCACAGUAAUUAUAAGUUAAUGCUUGGAGGUUCGAGCAGCCUUUCAGAAGAGCCAACCCAGAAUCUGUCACCUCUGAACCGGAAAGAUCAACGGAAAGUAAAUGUGAACCUUGUGAAGAGAUGACACUCAUCCAACUAUCUUUCACAUCAGGGUAUUCCCCCAAACCAAUAUCCUGCAAUCACAAAAGAAAAAGAAAAAUCUAAUACAUGACAAAGCCCUUCCAAAUUUCCAAAUUUCAACCACCUACAAGCACAUUACCUCGAGGGCGCAAUCUCUAAAAGCUUCAAGAGAAACAUCAGUAAGAGAAUUGGAACAGACCAAUUCAUUGAAUAUCUGUUGACUAAGAUCCCUUGGCAGCAUCGAAAACGAGCUAUAUUUGUCAAUGUCCUGUAACCGAUAUGCAAAUACAAAUCACAACCUGAAAAUUACUACACAUAUAAUCUCCUCUCACAACACAGAUAACUUCAAGCUUACAUUCCACAGAAAGCAAGUACCUGGCAUAUUUUACGAAUGCACAAUUCCAAGAGAGAUGGGCAAGCCCCUGCUCCUCCUGGAGGCAGCUCUACAGCGGGUCGAAAAGAUGAAUUCCUCAGCCAUUUUGAACUGCUACUCUUACCAUAUCUUCCAGCCACGACGCUGCGAACUUCAUCUUCAAUGACCGGUUGGUCUCGCUUUCUUGAACAAAUUCCCCCCAUCAUCUAACUGCGGAUUGAACUAUCACUAAACCUCACGAAAAUUCGCAGCAAAAGAACUAAUUUCCGGCCUAUUCCAUGAAAGAGGUUCAUGGGAUUGAAAUUUUAUUCACCCUGGAAGGUAAAGAACAAAAAGUAUCAUUGUAUUUACAUCACAAAAGUUACUGCUAAAACGAAAAAAAGGAAGAUUACCAGCAUCAAAAAACCAACUUUUGCACACAAAAAUCUUCACUUUAUGCAAAUAAAACGAUCAAACAAGUGCGAAAGUUACUUAAAUCGAAAACGGAAAAUCACCCACAUCAAGAAAUCAACGUUUACACAGAAAAAUCACCACUUUCUACGAACAAUCGAUCAAAUAAGUACGAAAGUUUAAAACUUUACUCUUGGGUUCUUUCAGUUUUGGUGACACGGUCAUAUUUUCUCGGAUACCAAACAGAAACUGAGUGCAAAAGUAUCAGAACAGAAAACCCACCGAUCAACUAGCAGAGCGAGCUGAGAGAGAGAGAGAGAGAGAGAGAGAGAGAGAUUGGAACUGAAAUAUUAACAGAGGAGGGGUUGGAGUUGCGACUUGGCAGGAGGAGAGAGAGAGGUGAGGUGAGAGACGGACCUCACCCCCAUCUGAUCUUCGCCACGUGGCAUUUGGCGGGGAUUAGUCAUUCUUUGUCUGCUGUAAUCGCAACUAGCUCAAUUGGGACAACGAGAGAGCGACACGCCACUGAAGGGCCAUGGCUUCUGUGGGUCCCUCCUCAGUCGGUCCGGCCCCACUGAGAGCGUCGUUUUCUUCUCUUUUCCGCCGGCGGGAAAAACAAGGCGCUGCCGCGUGGUAUGGUAGUACUUAGCAGAAGGAUGAAACAAUGGGCCUACUUAACCCAACAAAGCAUAAGAAAUUAGAAGGAGAAAAUGAAGGCUAAAUUUACUCUAUUAGCGGUUUCGUCUCGAAAAAACUCGUAGAGACAUUUUAGUCUCUGAUAACCAGUCUUAUGAUUUAGAAGCACUAAAAAUUGAACUUAAAAUGUGCUGUAUAAUAUACGGGCCUAAAAUUCGUCAUCAACCAUUGAAUUAUCUUGUAAAGCAAAUAUUAUAUUAUAAUGUUAAUGAUAAUCUGAAUCUGUCUCUAUCUAGUACAUUUUUUAUAAAGUGCGUAUUACACCGUCAUGUAUUAUUAUUAGUAUACGUGUAUAAUGUAACUCUCACACUUAAAGUUAGUAGCAUGAUGCAUAUUGAGUUGUGGUCGAAUUUACUUGGCGUGGAAGGAGAAUAGUCUCAAACAUAAAUGAUAAACCGGUGUGGUGAAGAAGAAAAGAAUAAUAAUUAUCUUGCAAGGAUUGCUUAGAAUCAUACAAAUAAUAAUCAUGGUUAGCAAUGAUGUUAAAAUAAAUAUUAAUCUUAUGAUUUGACAUGAUUCAUUCAGAUUUCAAUUUAUUGUAGGUGGGUUAGUGGAAGCCCCUUGUUUUCCUAAACCUGCCUCAACCAAGCGUCGGUGAAAGCAGAAUAAAAAUCAGACAUAAAACGAAAUUUGUCGUACCCAGUGCACAAGGCUCCCGCUUUACGCAGGGUUUGGGAGAGGUGAAUGUCGGCUAGCCUUACCCCCAUUUAUGGAGAGGCUGCUCCCAAGUCUCGAACCCGAGAUCUACCGCUCAUGGGCGAAGGCACUUGCCAUCACACCAAGUGCGACCUCUAAAUUAUUAAGAAAAUUAGGCAUUUUGGUAAUUUUGGAUUAACAAGGGACAAAAUUAUUAAGAAAAUUAGGAAUGAAUUGUCAAAUUAAUCAAACUUUAUUAAAAGAAUAAUAAUAAAUGAUGAAACUUUUGUCAUCUUGUCAAUGUCUUGACCUUAUCUAGGGUUUAUGAGGCAGUCCCGUAGAAGCACAUAAAAGUGCUUGAAGAACUUUGGGUUUCGUUAAAAGCACUUGUGAGCAAAAGAGCUCCUACAAAAGCAGUCUCAAACGAAUGCUAAAUACAGAACCAAGGUAAACUAAAUCGAACUUCAUGAAAUUUGAAACCAAAUCACGACGUAUCAUUCGUUAUGGUGUAGUGCUCACCAACCAAGAUCUCACAUAACUCAGGGAAAAAGGAUUCAAUCUAAACAAACUUCGUGGAACUGCUUUUUUAAGGAGCGACAAUCACUUGCAAAAAAAGCUGAAUAACUCAGGGAAAAAGGAUCAAUCAAACAAAUUUCAUGGACCUGCUUUUAUAAGGAGUGACAAUCACUUACAAAAAAAGCUGAAGUAAAAAUAUGAUUAUAAUACACAACAGCUCUUCAGCUACACUCAGGCCAUCAAAAUUACUAUCAUGAAGCUACAACAGACCGGGCACUGUUCCGUCCCAGGCCAAGACCCAAUCCUACCGGAAUGUUUUCAGUUUUCGAUUUCCCGUGGUUGUUACUAUGGCUGCAAUGGGCAGAAUGAACGUGACCGUGAUGUGGUGUUGAAUUAGAAUUUACAUCGAUUGCAGCGUGACUGUUGCCGUUUGUGCGGUGAGAAUAGGCGUCCCCUUUCUGCAAGUUUGAAGAAUUUAUAUCCCUCAUCCCAAUUCCCUCCUCAUCAUGAGCCGGUUCUUCAAUGUGUUCCACAUCUUCGUUGUAACCCUUGAUCAAGAAAUCCGAACAAUUCUUCCUUAUCCCAUGAUCGAAUGGAUUUCUGAACCUACCACCUGGGCCUCGAAGGUAGUUAUAGCGCAUCAUGUUUGCCAUUUCGUUAGUUGUAAUGUUCCGUGAUAUCUGUAACAAGAGAGAUUAUUGACUAACAAAUCGCUAAGACACUCUUUACACAGAGCUGCUGUUGUGGGGAGAAAAAUAUCUGGAAAUAUUUAUACUUUUCCGAUCAGAUCAGAUCAGAUCAGAACAGAACAGUCUUCGAUAUUGGUUUUUUUCGUUUUCAUAUUGAGCAACUCAAUUUUAAAAAGAAAAUUUACCUGAGAAGCUUGGACAACGGUCAAAACCACCACGCCAAAGAAGAGGAAGAAAUCCAUUAUAAAAAAUGAAAGAGCACCCACAUGUCUAGUAGCAACAAAAUUGAUCCAUGCUCCAAAAGAAGAUGGACACAAUGGAUCGCUCGAAACUCCUGAAAGAAGAAAAUUAAUCUCCUUUAGCGGGUUGAAGCACAUAUGGCCAUGCAAACGAUUCUAUGCCUAGAGAAACUUCAGAAAACAGAGUUGGAAAAAGACUGGAACAUACUCAUAAGAGUAACCCCUCCAGUAAACACCAUCGCCAAAACUUCCAGAACAAGGAAAGCAAAGAAAUCCCACUUGUUUUUCUGCACAGCAUGAAAAAAAGAGAAAAUAGAUUAAACUAAUAUAACAUGAAAAAGUUGGAAAAACAAUCCAGAACACCAAAACUUAUGUCAUUGCACCUUGCCAAUGCAAUUGGAUACCCAGGGGCAAUGGUGGUCAAAUUGUUCAACACAACGAUCACAAGUUGGACAGUGCUUUGCACGAAGAGGCCUGACAAUCUGAUGACAACGCCAGCAAGUAUGUUAGGUGAUAUGUUCUAAGAACAUAAAAGGGUCAUAUAUAAGUACCACAGUAGGCAACCAAUAGUACCUUGCACGUUGCACAGAGCUGAGACCAAUUACCAGCUAGCAAGGCAGGAUUAUUUAUCUCAAUCUUCAAAAGAGGCUCCUGUUAAAAAGAUGAGAAACCAAUGUUAACAUACGGCAAGUCAAGAGCACAUUAUGAUUCUUAUCUAUGAUAUGACAGUCAUAAUAAUAAGCUUAACUGUAAGAAAUCCUAAGUGGAACAGCCUGAGAUGGAUUAAAAUAUUAUGCAGAAAGAAGGUGGAAAUAAGAUAAGAUGAAGAAAGGUACGGUACAAACAUCAUCUUUCAUAUUUUGUGAAUCAUGGACAUUCAUUCGGAUGUAACCUGGAUCCUUGCUGCAAUAAGAGCAAUUAAAAAAAAUAAUCAACCAAACAUUUAAUUAAGUGACAUUGCUCUAGAUGGCACCAUAAUAUCUAUGCAUACAUCCCCAAAACGAUGUGUGUGUGUGUGUGUGUGUGUGCAAGACAAAACAUGAAUUAUUAAAACGUGAAUUAUUUCCAUCAUUGCAGUCAGUCUACAGCCAGCUAAAGUAUCAACAAAACUCCACAAGUCUGAUAAUCAGAGAGUGAAUGCUUAACAUGUAGGCAAUUAACAUCAUAGAACUCAGAAAUUCUCUAUGUCGUACCUGCUGCAUCUAUAGAACAUAACAAGCCCGGAUGUUGCUAGGAAAACUCCUAGCCAUGCAACAAAAACUGAUCCAGCUGUUAAUUUUGGCAGACUUGGUGCUGCAACAAAGUUGGACAGGGGGAGAGGAGUCGGUAUAAGUAUUGUAUAAUCCUGACAUUAAGGGCACAUACUGAAGUUUCAUAUAAAGUUCAGGGCAGAUACCCAUAAUGACAGAAUGAGUAUAGGUCACCAGGAGCACAAAGAUUAUACACCAAAGUAGUGGCGCAAGUCCUAGUUUUGAAAUUCUUCCAAGACGACUGUUCCCAUCACAGCGUUUGUCAAGCAGUCUUCUAGCAUUCCCCUACAUAAUCAAAUUUAUCAGAGCAUGAUCAGUUCUUUCCAUUCUUUCAUUUACGAAUUCAACUGUAUACACAUUAUAUGUAAGGCUCAAACCGAAUAGAAGCACCAGACUAAAAAAGAAAAACAUCUAGGAACUUCCUGUUAAGUCUAUAAAUAAAACUAUAGUGAGAACAGAAGAAAACAACAAAACCAAUAUUCUCCACUCGUUAGAUAUUACGAGGCAUUCUUUCUAAACAUAAAAGUCCCAGAAAAGAACCGAUCAAAAGUUUAAAGGAUUCAUCAGAUCAUUGCACAGCUUGAAAACUUAAGUCCUCAAAUUCAUUGAACAAAUAAGAACAUUACUAACCAAUGUUAAAAGUGUUUGGUUAUGGAACACCUACAAGGAAAAAGGCAACUUGUCUGUGAUUCUUAUCAGCGGCAAGUUGUGCUGGUGUAAGGCCAGUGUUGUCUGUAACCAUUAAGUCGUCCUUCUUUCCAGCCUGUACCAACACUGUACAUGCCUCCAAGUUACCCCUGAUAGCAGCCCAAUGCAAAGGAGUGCAACCUGAAGUCACAAAAAAAGGUAAUGAAUUAAUAAUUUUGCAUAAUAGGUGAAACAAAAGCACAUUUCAGCAUCUAUAACCUAGUCAUAUAAUAAUGGAACGGAGAUGGUACUAACCCUCCUUAUCUUGGCGUCCUUUAUAUGCAUCCAGAAAUAAAAGAAGACGUAUACAAUCAGCAAAACCUUUAUAAGCAGCCCUAAACACAAAAGGAAAAGAGUGAAUCAAAUUUACAUGAUAAAAGCAGAAACAUAGUGCACAUUUUCCAUGUAGAAAAUAUAACAUAUCACUGGAAAGGGGUAGGGAAGUAGUUACUAUUCACAAGAAAUCAAAAUAUAAUAUUGUCACAUACCAGUGUAAAGGGCUUCUCCCGUCAUUAUCAGGCACAUCAGGGUCAGCAUUCCAUUUUGAAACAAUAUGGUACAGGAAAGCUGUCUGACCAUAUUGAGCCGCAACAUGUGUAGUCUGUGAUCAUAUCAAAUUUGAUCAGUUAUGUUUCAGGCUCUUUCAGCCAACUUAUAGGUCAAAAUGGGGCCCUAAAGCUUUUAGCAAAACCGUGAGCCUAACACAAAACAAGCGUGCGAAACAACGUAAAUUUGAGUUAUCCACUUUCAGUUUAAUAUUGUUACAUUGUAUCACUACAUGUCAUGUCUUUCAGUAGCCACAACUGAAGAAAAUGAUUAGCUGCUGGUUGCUAAUAUUGGAUUUGACUAAAAUUGAUCAAAAUUACUAGCAACACACAUGACCCAAAAAUCUUUAGUUUAUGGAAUAACUACAUGAAAAUUCCAUUUUACAAUGCGAAUAUCGUACAUAGACUCGCUGAUACUAAGAUACAGAUAUGAAUACAGAUGCUGGUGAGAAGCUUUACAUACCAAUUUUCUCUCCCAAAAUCCAUAAUCAACAAACCAUACUAUUUUCUUAAGCAGGGUUAGUUAGGAUUGUGAAUUGGAGCAUGAAGUAAAACUGACCUGAUAGCCAUACAUAUCGACAGCAUUCACCCGAGCACCCUCUUGGAGUAAUAGCUCCGCAACCUGGAUUGCACCACGCACCGCACUCCAGUGUAAUGCUGUUUGCCCCGUAUGAUCUGUGGCAUUCACAUCUCCUCCAUGCUGGCAUUUAACAAACCCAAGUAACAUACUUGUUAUACAAACUUAUCCUGGAUACGAUUUUGUUUUCAAUAAAAAACAGCAACAAUCAUAAAUAACAUCAAGAAAAACCAAUAGCAACCUAUCCAAUGCUAAAUUUCACCUUUUUCUCGUACGAAAUGGUCAUUCUAAAGCAAAAAUCUAUAGAACGAAAAUUUCAUUUCUCGGUUUCUUUUUCCAUUUCUUAAGAUAGAAGAGAAGAAUUAUGAGAAAAAGGUUGGAUUUUUAGUUAACCAAGUAGCACAGAAUUUAUCUACAACUCCUCGAAUGAAUACGAAAUCUCGGAUUCGCAUAACCAACUUAAGCACAUUUCAUAAACCCAUCGAAACAAAGAAAACCCAAUUCACCUAACUCCAUGGAAAUGCAAAAACAAAUAAAAAUUGGGAGCAGAGAGUGCAUGAAGAACCCUCACCUCAAUAAUAUACUGGGCGGCGGCAGUGCGGUUGUUGAGAGCGGCCCACUGGAGGGCAUAGUAGCCGAGACCAUCGGUCUCGGAAACAGAGCAACCCUCACACUCCACCAAUCUCUGAAGCUUCUCCAAAUCCCCAUACGCAGCCGCCGUAUACACAUCGUUUCGCAGACUCUCUUCCCCAAUCCGAUUAGCGUCGCCAUUGUUGUUCGUUGAAUUGGCAGAGACGGAUCCAGGAUCACCGGUUUGGACCUCAUCCUCGACGACCUCGAUCUCCGACGACAUAUCUACGGGCAAAAACCAAAAAUUGAGCAGCACGACCGGCGGAGCUGGCUUUUAUUUGGUUUCGUUGACCUUCAAUUUGCGAUUAAAUAAAUCAAUCGAAUUGGGGGUUGGGAAUUUAGGGUUUUCAGCGAAGCCGGCCGUGUUGACUGGGGUGGUGGAGAGCGAGACGGAGAGAGAAGAAGAAGCCAAAUGAUUUGCCUAUGGAUUAUCAUUGGUCAAAUUCCAAUAUUUCAUUUUUGGACUAAUUGGAUUUUUAGUAAUGUAAUCAUAACGUAUUUGGAAAAUAAAAAAAUUAAGAUUUAAAUUUUGCAUAUUUAUUAGUAUUUAAUGUCACAUCCCCCCAAGGCGGACCACUUCCCGGGCCCAAGGCAGACCACUUCCCGGGCCCGGUCCACUUCUCGGGUCCGCUCCACCACCGUAGCACGAUAUUGUCCGUUUUGGGCCCCGACCAUGCCCUCACGGUUUUGUUUCUGGGAACUCAAGAAUAACUUCUCAGUGGAUCACUCAUCACCAUGCCCUCACAGCUUUGUUUCUGGAAACUCACGAGUAACUUCUCAGUGGGUCACUCAUCAUGGGAGUGCUCUAGCCCCCUUCUCGCUUAACUUCGGAGUUCCGUCGGAACCCGAAGCCAGUGAGCUCUCAAAAGGCAUUGUGCUAGGUAGGGAUGAGAAUAUACAUUUAAAGAUCACUCCCCUGGGCGAUAUGGGAUGUUACAUUUAAGCUUAAAAUUUAAAGUUUUGUUAAUUUUUUAUUAAUUGUUAGCAGGUGAGGCUAAAAAGGUAAAGUUAAUAUCAUAUGUAUGUUCACAUACUGAUAAUUAAUGAAGAGUUACACAAAAUAUAUAAAUUUGGAGCUAAAUCCUACUUCACUCUAAUAGUUUAAUCCUAAUUUUUGUAUCACAUGGGCUAUUUUUUACUACCUAAAAACAUUAAGCUCGAUUUGAGUCGCUUUUAAAAAAACCCAAAGCACUUCUAAGAAGAAUGUUUUUGGAUUUCAAAGACACUUGAAGUGUUUUUUUGCAUAAAACACUAGUUAAGUGUUUCUUGUAACAAGCACUUCAAGUACUUUUCUAUAAUUCACUUAUAUUUUUAUUAAGAAUUAGUCACAAAAAUAUUUUCAUUUUUAACCAUUUUAAAAACAUUUUCAAACAUUUGUUCUAAAUUUUUGUUCGACAUUUCCCAUUUUGUUUUCCACUUUUAUUUAUUUUACAACUGAUAUUUUAGCCUAAUUACCAAAUAUAAAGUCAAUCAAUAUCCCAAGUGUGAAAAUAUAUCAUGUGGCAAAAGUGACAUAUUAAAUACUUUGUUCGCUUGUAUAACACAUGAAGAUAUAUCACGUAGUAAAAGUGUGACAUGUUAACCUGUACUUGAAAGUAUAAGAUCUUGGUUUGAUUCUUGGGAAUGGUAAGAUAGUAACAACAUUAUUAUAGUUGGUUCAUUAUGCAAUCUAGUCCAACCCAAAAGCAAUGUUGAACUGAAUUAUCCUGUAUCAUUUAACGCUCCUGGAGACGGGCCUGGACCGCUUGGUUUGGCAGUUGGAGACGGAGUUUCUAUUUAAAUACUAAGAGUUUUAAGUAGAAAUUUCUAUUUAUUUUGUAAGUAUUCAAGUAAUACUUUUUUAUUUAAAUGAUCCGAAUUGCCUCAUCUUUAAACGCGAGACAAUGGGAUUCAGAAAGAUCUCUAUGCUUCCAUGACCUUCGCAAUACCCAAUAAGUCAACGCAAAAUUUACCCAAGCGACCGAUAAAAUUACCUAAUCAGCAAUUAGUCAGCAGAUAUAAAUCUACCGUGGUGGCAGUAGAAAUUUCAGAGACCAAAAAACCCUAACCGGACAAAGCCUCAGUGGGUUUACCUUCUCCCCCACUGGACCAGACAUUUUAGCCCGAACCCAGAAAACCCUUCAAAAUUAUCCGUCCCUUUCUCCUUCUCUCUCUCCUCACACACACACUUUCUCUCUCUGUGUAUCUCUCUAUCUCUGUUUGUGCAAUUUUUGCUCUGAUUUUUUGUCUAUUUUUGAGGUUUUUUUUUUUGCAGCGAAGAAGAUGGAGUUGUGCGCCUCUGAGAAAAAGGGCAUCUGGGUUGGCUCUCUUUUGGAAGCAAUGGUGGGCGACACUGUCGUUGCUGCUCGCAACUCCAUUGCUCUGCUGCUCCUUGCGGUAUACUUCUGUCUCUCUUAAAUUGCUCUUAUUUGUUCAUAAUUUUGUGUGUGUAAAAUUGUGACAUGGAUUGAAGUGUCAAAGUUUCAAGCUUUUGUUGUGUUUUUUACUUUUUACUGCUCGAGAUCUAAAAAAUCUGCAGCUUUUUUACUGAACUAUUAUUUCAGAAUUUGGGGCUUUUUUUUUUUUUUUUUUUGGCUUUUACCAAUGGUUUUGAAAUUUGAAAUUAGAAUUUUUAUUUAUUUUUGAUAAAUUUAAGGGAUGGAAUUUGGUAGUUUUAUGUAUUAGGUUGUUUGGGGGAGAAAAGCCCUUUUUCUGCUUAUCUUUAUUUUUUUAUUUUUUAGAAAAGCACUUUGUAUUAUUGAUUGUAUGCUGUCUUAAAACUUGUAUUUAUUUCAGUCAGCUUCUGGAGAAUCUGGGUUUUUCUUGUUAAUCGUUUGCUUUCAUUCUAUUUUUUUAAUGUAGCAUUGUGUUAAAGUUGCUUUCUUUUGGAUUGUUUGUCGAAAUUUUGUGUAGAAACUAAUUGCUUCGAUGUAAUGUUACAAACUUCUUGACGCUCUUUUCCUAAUGUUCUUGGUUUCUAGUUGGUUUUUCUUGUGAAUCGUUCGCUUUCAUUGUUUUCCUAAUGCUCUUGGUUUCUGGUUGGUUUUAGCUCACACAAAUUUUUAAUCUUUUUCAUAUGCCGUGAUUUCUAUUUUAAGUUCAUGAAUUAUUCUACAUUUUGUAAAUUAAUACAAUGAGCAGUCAUAAUUCCUUUUCAUACUUAUAAACUUAGAACAGUAGAUUACUAAAACGACCUAAUUUAGACCCCGUCAUGAGAACAGAGUAUUGCCGCAAAGAAAUUUGCGCAUACAUUGCAUAUAUGGUGUUACCAUUUCUGCGUUUAAGAUAACAACGCAGCACUAUCCAACUUUCCUAACACUGUAUAAAUGUAAUUGUUGUUGGGCUGUAGCACCGGAUUUUACAUUGACCACAUAUUUCGGUAGUUUUAGUUUUGAACAUCUGGCUAAGGUUUGUUUAGUUUAUCAUAUUAUGGAGUGUUGUAUGCCUUGUAUUGGGAUUUCUAUUUUGCUGUUGACCGGAUUUGGUAUUGUACCAUUGUUGAUAAGCUAUGAAGUAUGUUUUGCAAACUUGUUUUGGUUUGCUGGGCGUCGCCUGCUACAUUAUGAGCCGCAUGCCUAAAUGCCGUUUUAGAAUCCAUUUUAUGAACUGGGACAUGCAUGUUUAUGGAAAACGAAAGCCUUGUGUUAUUUGUUACUUUCUCUUUUUAAAAGCUGUUCACCAACACUAGUUAUCGCUGUUUCAGACUGGGGCACUGAUGAAUGGUAUCAAUAUGUCACCGGAAUUGACUGCAAUCACAGGAAGGUAAUGAAAUUGUUAUUCUGUUCAUCCAAUACCAGCAUCAAUGGUUUUUGAGGGUAUAAUCGAAUCUAAGUUGGUGACUGUUGCUUCCUUCUUCAGGUUUCCUUUUGAAGAACUUCUCAAAGUGGAAAAACCGGGUGCGGAAAACAAAGAUGCUAGUGAUACAGAGGAUGACAACGAGGAUGAAGAUGAUGAGGAGGUGGAUGACCCGGAGGAUGAUGAUGCAGGAGAUGAGGACUUCUCAGGUGACGAAGGGGCAGAUAAAGAAGGGGAUCCAGAGGAUGAUCCUGAAGCCAAUGGCAACGGAGGCAGCGAUGAGGAUGAUGAUGAAGAAGACAAUGAUGAUGACGAUGGUGAUGAUGACGAUGAUGAAGAUGAGGAUGGAGAAGAAGAGGAAGAAGAGGACGACGAGAUUCCACAGCCACCUGCUAAGAAGAGGAAGUGAGAAGAGGAGCCAGUCGUGCUUUGCCAUUGUGUUGUUUCGGUUUCGGUAAGGAGUUAUGAAGUAGUGAGGCAUAAUUUAGCUUGUCAGUUUGAUCGGAGUAGAAUUUACAUUCCUUGUCCUUGAUGAACCGCAGAUGUUAUUAGUUAUCGUCGAGAUACAUUGUUCUCGUAUGAGAAUCAGUAGACGUCUUUGAUGUCGCGUUGAGAAUCUUCGUAUGUUGUGUUAAACCUCUUCGAUUGAUUUAUAUAAGUUUGGGAUUCAUAAAAUUGAAAGAACCAACCGUUUCUUUCUUCUCUUGUUUGCUGUCUUGGAGAAACCAACUGGUUCUUGAGCUGUCCCGGAGAUCGUCGUCUUGAAAGGAACCAUCUGUUUCUUCAACACUUUCUUCCCUCGGGGGCGGGUCUAUCAUUACUCGCACUUGAUGUUGGUGAAACGAAAGAUGUGCAUGUGAUGAGAGAGAUACAAACAUUGUGAUCACCUACAGUAGCUGUUCAUUCCACCAACAGUUAGUUGCUAAUAGAAGUGCAACUUGGGUUGAACCAAUCAGAACCGGUUCAUAGUCAACUCGACUCUAAACCCGCACAAAUGGGUUUUUUUUAGUUAUAAUCUGCUCGAAUCCAACUCAAUUUCAACCCGUUCAUUGUUUGGUUGAGUUUGGUCGAUUAUUUGUUCGUCCAUCCCCAACCCAACCUAACCCAACUAACCAGACCUAAUCUAAUCAGAUUGUAACCAAUAUCAAUUAAUGCUCAUACUACACCGAAGUGAGCCAAGUCUAAAAACUAACGGGCUUUCUAUACAUAUUUUUAAUAAAUUACCCUUUAUAAUUACUUAAGCUUUAAGGGAAUAAGAAGCUUUGAUUAGUCAAUCUAUAUUUGUAGUCUCCAAAUCCUAAAGCUUUAUAGUAGAUGAAUUUAUGAAAUUAAAGUUAGCUAGCUUUAAUGCUACUUGGCUUAAAUUUUUUAGGAAUUCUUAUAAACUAAGUUGUUAUAAGAUUAAACUUGAAAAAAAUGGACAUCCCGAACCCAACCCAAUUAAACUUGAGUCCAAAUGAACCCAAAUGAACCCAAAUGAAACCAAACCCGAAUCAGAGCUCGAAUUGUAAAAGUUAGGAUAGGAUUGGGUUGACCUUCCAACCCGCCCGAGUUGCAUCCCUAGUUGCUAAUAUGCCUACGUUUGAUCUAGGCUGGGAUUAGUGCUAAAUAGUCCAAUCCUAGUCCCAGUCCAUUCAAUCAAACGCGCUCUCAGAGCUUGCACAUAUCAUGUUAACGAUGAACAAUUUACGCUACAAAAACAUAUAACGUGACAUUAGUGCAAUUUAUUACAAACAAUGGAAUUUACCGACGUCCUUGAGUUAAGAAAGUAUCGGAGUUCUAUGACAAUAGAAUGAGAAGAUGAAGUUCGGAACAGAAGCAGAGUACAGUGAUCUCGAGGAUUUGGAGACGUCCUCAUCCUUUGAUUCAUCGCAGAAUUUCUCCCGACUGAGACUCCAAUUGCGCUCCGCUGAAUAACCUACAAAGUAAUGGGUAUGCAACAACAAACGUUAAUAAAAGGCAUCCAGCAUUUGCAGAGUUCCAUGGGAAAGAUGCAUACAUAGACCACAUUCUGCAAGGCCCGUCAACGGUCUUUAAAACUGAAAGGAAAUGCUCAGCCACAGCUUUCGAAAACAUGAAUUCGCAUUCAACCAUCAAAUCUUUUUAAGUUUAAAAGAGAAGGAACAUGGUUGGCUACAAUACCAUCAAUGAGUAUCACAUAGUCAGACUAGCAUCGCUGAGGACGAGGAAGAACUAUGCAUAUAUAGAUUCGAAGGUUGAUAAUUUAGGUUAAGCAAGAUAUUAUGACAUUUGCGAAUAAAAGAAAUAUUUGAAUCAUCUAAAACUACAAAAAACAACUGGGUUCAAGGGUACUGGGGUUGAAGUCUUAGUCUAGGCAUGGCGGACCAGGAAAUAGAAAGGGUAAAAUUAUCGAACUCGUUGUUGCCUUUUUCAUCUCCUUCUAGUUUGAAAGCAAACAACGAUUUUCCGCUCGUUGAAAGAAAUCUUAAAAACUCAACAAUGAAAUGAUCAUACUUGAAUUAAAGCUGAGAAGCGAAUCCUGCACUAACUUGAUCUUUACUUAAUUGAUCAGACAACAAUGCGAUAUCAGCAUUUUAAAGAGUUCAUUUCGUAUAAUCGACACAAAAUCGAAGGGAAAUCCAUAUUCGGCCAUACCCACGAAAGCUUCAAUCACUUAAACAACAAUGCCAUCUCAAUAAUAAACAUCCACACACAUGAUUCUACCACAAAGUCACCAAAUUCAAAUUUGUUGCAAUCAAAAUUCCUCACAACCCCACAUUGUAAGAUCACAUCAUAAGUAUUCAAUCAAGAAAGAACAGAAAUUUCCAAACACAAUUCAAUCACAAAACUUACCACAUUCACUCAGCAACGGGCAGCUUCCCAGCUCGAAAAGUCGCAAACUUUGACACUUCGGAGUAGGAAUACCGAACCCCAUUUUCCUUCAAAAAGUCCUCAAGCACCACCUUCACUCCUUCAGGGUCAGCACUCUCACACUCAAUUUCGUAACAAGUACCAAAAUCAUACUUAGUCUCAUCCACCUCCAAUUUCAAGCCCUUCCAAUCAUACACAUCCCUCACAUUCCUAAAUCCUCCCAAUCCCACAAACCCUAAAACCCCAAAUUCCUCCCUCACCCUCCUCAAAACCCUAGACUCCGCGGCCAUCAGCUUAUCCGGCUCGGCGACGCAGGCCCGCCCGAUCGAGUGAUCAAGCUCCUCCUCGUCCUCCUCCACUCGGCUAAUGCCAUCGACAAGCACCGCCCGCGCCUUGAGCGUCACGGCGCAGAGAGGACUCCUGUCGGAGAAUCGUAGCCGGAGAACGGCUAGGCGGGCCGAGAGCUCGGCUUUGGAGCCGUCGAAAAAGAAAUUCUCUUGGCGGUGCGUGGCGACGAGGAAUGGCGCCAGGAGGGUGGUGACUUGGCGGUGAGCGGCAGCGUCGAGGAGCCUGAGCUUGACCUCGACUUCCAUCAGAGCUUUGGGGAUUUGAGACAUGAAGGUUUUUUGAGGGCGUUCGAGCUUCGAUUACUGAGGGAGGCCGAUGCGGUGCGUUUUGGAGGAGGCGUCUUUGGCGCGGUCGAGGUGGUGGAGGAGAGUAGUGGCGGCGGUGGUUGUGGUUGUGGUGGACGAGGCGGCGGCGCGUAGCUUGCGAGCUUCUUCGAGUUCGUCUUUGUCUUCGAUUUUGAGUUCGAUCUUGGUUGGCUUUCGUCUCAGCAUUUCUGCUCUCUCAAAUUUCCUUCACUUUUGAUAUCCACUGCGUAUUUUAUACGUUUUGGAUUGGGCCUGCUAAGUAGUAUUGGGCUUUGAUUCACUGAGGCUCGCUCGGUAUCGUUUUUAUAAGAAGCACUUUCAUCAUAAGCAUUUCCGUAACAUGUGCUUUUAUUUGAAAGAAAUAUAAUUGUUUUUCGAAAUUUUAAAUCCUUCCUGAAAAAAAUCUUGGAAGUGCUUUUUGAAGAAGCACAUGAGUGAUACUUCUCCAAAAAACGCUUAUAUAAUCAAAAUUGAUAUGUAGUUAAUACAUGUUGCAUAAUAGUAAAUCCCCUUGUUUUGAAAAAAAAGGGACCAGGCUGAUCAGCUGGUGGCCAAGUUAUGGCAAUCUAGUUUUUCGGGGGUCGAAAAAGUUUAUAGAUGCAUUUCAGUACCUCUCUGUCCACUAUCGUGUGAUAAAUCCCUUUGUUCUGAAACUUAUUUUUAAGUUUUUCUAUUUUAUUAAAGAAUAAAAACUGAUUAAUUUUAAAUGCAGUGAUAAGAUCAUCACUCUAACUGAAGAGAUUCUUUAAGCAAAUUUCAGUUUCAUAAAUUCACAUUAAACGUUUCAAAAUUUUCACAUAAAAAUAAUAAACUAUUAAAAUCUCCCAUUCUUCAACCUUGAUCCUCAAGCUCCCCAGCACCAUGGCGGCAAAAUCCCCAGCAAAAUACUCAAUGCUGUUCUUGCUCGCGGCUUGUGCGGCAAGCAUAGGCGUAGCACUGUCGACCGCACCGCUGGCAGCAUCACCACUACCCAUCUUGCCGCACGGCCCCUGGGAGUCGGGACUUCCAAGGACAAGGACAUUUCCAGGUCGGCCCGGCUGGAAAGAGCUCCGACAGUGCUGGGCUCCUCUCCAACAUGUAACAGGCUGCGUCGACCAGAUUUACGAUGCGCUCUCCAACGCCCGAUUAGACCUGGUCGGGCCGGCUUGUUGUAAGGCCGUCGCUGAAACGUUUGACGAUUGUUGGGCCAAGCUGUUUCCUUUCAACCCAUCUUUCCCUCCAUCUCUUAAGAGCUUUUGCACCGCUCAUCCACCUUCACCCAGGUCAACUUGAAUAAGGUUUAUUGUGUCACACCGUUACAUCGUAUUAUUGAUCGACUAAUGUUAUAACUAGUGGAUCAAAUUAGUAAUCUUAUAUCCUAGGUCAUGCUAUAUCAAUUGUUACGACAAUAAUACGUAACGAUAUGAAUGUCACAUCAAAAUUAAAUUUUGCUUUUGAGAGAAUCUCACCCUAGUUAGUUUGCUUUUGCAUCAGUCUAGAGCAAACGAUGCUCUCUUCUCUUUUGUUUAGGUUGUUUUAUGUAGUAAAACUUUUUUAUUUAGUUAUGAUUCCUUUGAGAAAUUUGGUAAAAUGCCCCUUUUGCAGGCCGAAAAAGAUUUUUGCUCCUUUUUUUUUUAAAAAAAAAUUUAUAGGACUCGUUUAAAAGAAGUUUUCAAAUAACUAAAAACGCUUUUGGUGAAAUUGAUUUUAGGUUCCAAAAGCAAUUUAAGUGUUUUUUUUAAAAAGUAUCAUGUAUGUGUUUCUUAUCGGAACAACUUAAAGGUGAUUUUUCAGGAUUCACUUGAAUUUUUACAAAAGAUCGGUUUAAAAAACAUUUUCACUAAAAAUGCUUUCAGUCAUUUUAAGCUAGAUUUAAUUAUUUUCAAAUUCUUUUAAAUUGCUUAGAAACAAUAGUUUAUGAACUCGUUUCAGCUAAAAUUUUCUCUUAUGAGCAAUGAAGAAUACAUAUAUCUAACUUCAUUUGUUAGCUAAAACUAAAGAGAAAUCUGAAUAUAUAUGAAAUCGUAAUCACGGUAUUAAUUCUUGUCUCUUUUUCUAAUCAUGUACUUUUUAUUUGUUCUUUUAUUUAUUCAGACGAUGGAACCAGCUUCGAAUUAGGUCGCUGCAUACACUUUUUAUAUACGCAUACUAGCAGUUUACAUGCAUUUGUAAUUACGUGAUAACAUUGAUAAGGUAUAUUGGUAUACAAUAUAUAUCCCAUUUCAAAACAAAACAUGCAUCAACCACAAAUACUAGGACUGAUCAUGUAUAUAUAUAGAACUAGAAAGUGGGUGUUGAUUAUGAUUAGCCUAAUCACAUGUUAAAACGACCCAUGUAUAUACUGGAUGGAUUCGUGAUGUCAUUUUUUAACAUAACUUUUGGCAGAUGUUUUUGUGGAACAUAUUCCGUAAUGUAUUUUAACGAUCCGAAUCAUUUAUCUUUUAGGGUUUUCCUCAAAAAUUAUAUAUAUAGAGCAACUUCUUAGCAUACUGUAACAAAAUCUGAGAAAAUGUAUAUAAGAGUAUCGUAAGAAACAUGUAUUUACCAUAUAAGACUUAUGUAUGUCCUUUUCUUUUGUUUUCCUUUCUUUACAGCUUUGUAACUUUCUAGAUAAUUUCUCAGACUGAGCCGACCCAUUUUGUUUUAAGUAAUGGUUUUGCGUGGGACUGCAGCUAGCAUGCAGUGAUGUGGACCUUUCAUGAGUCAUACUUUCGAUGUUCUUUUUGUUAAUACUAGAAAAUAAAAGAUCCUUUAUUUGAAAUGAAAUUCGAAUUUCUCACAAAAUCAGAUGUUCAUUUUCUUAAACCAAAAAAAUAAAAGAUCUUUUAUUUGAAAUCAAAUUCGGAUUUUUCGAAAAAUCCGACUUUUGGUCGAUCAAAUUCACUUCAAUUUGGUCUCAAAAUGUCUCUUUUGAAAGCUGAAGAAAUCCUAAGGAGGAAUCUUUCUCAAAAUAUGCCAUUUUGACCUUUAAAAUACCUAAAAUGUCCACAAACGUCAAUUUGAAAAAGUUGCGCGUUGGGCCUUUAUUUCAUUGCCAUGGCCGAACGGCUUAGUAGAAAAAUUUGAAAUUUUGAUAAAAUCAUCUUGAAAUACUCACGAACAUCCACCAAUUGAAAUCACUCCAAAAUUCAUCCGUUUGAUCACUUUUUGCUCCACAAGAAGUCGAAUGUUGUACAUUAAGAAUAUAUAAUAAAGUAUCAAAAUUCUACCAAAAUAACCAAUAAAUUAUAAUUAAGAAUAAGAUAAAAUAUAUGAUAUAAUAUCGACUCAUCAACAACCCUGUUGGAUAACUAUUUCGUUUUUAACUUUUUGUUUUCGUUUUUGUAUUCGCUUCUAAUUUAUUAAAUAUCCAGGUAGGUUCCUAAUAAUGUAGUAAAUGUAGUCAAGUUCUUUGUUCUCAUCCAAAUGCAAAAGGAUAGUAAGAAGCAGCCACCAAACUUGAUGCUAGUGGAAGACAGUUCAGUCAAUGAUGUGGUUGUCCUUCACAAGAAACAAAUAAAGCACCCAAAAUAUCCUCUCCUGUAUAUCUACAGCCUAUCAAAUAUAAAGGGUAUUUCCACGACCCUACCAUUAUUGUCCCUUGAAUAUUCAAGUGGUUGGCAUUUCAACUUCAAAGUCCACCACUUUUUCUGUUCCAAGUCUUCGUACUUCAAUAAUUUGCAUGGUCACUCAGAUAGAACUCCAUAGCCUAAACACUUGCAAAAUUCAGCAACUCCAUCAAAUUUUCAUGGAAAAUCUUCCUAUCCGUAAAACCCCUCCCCCUCUAUUUUCCGUGCUUGUUUUUCUCCUCCAUUUCUCAUCCCUUCACUUUCCCUCGUUGGCUUACGAUACCCCUGAUAAGUACUUCAUCAACUGUGGGUCAAAUGCUAAUGCCAACUUCAAUAACCAUGUCUUCACUGCAGAUCGUUUCUUCCACUCGAAGGCGACAAGCAGUAUCAAUGGCGGCAACCAGUCGAAUCUUUACCUUACAGCAAGAAUUUUCGAGCAAGAAUCCUACUAUAAGUUCGACAUCACUGAAAACGGUACUUAUUAUGUACGUCUGCAUUUCUUGGCUUUCGCCUCUUCCUCAAGUAAUCUCUCCGCUGCUAUUUUUGAUGUUUCGGCUUUUCCUAAUAAUUCAAAUUCUGGAUUCAUGCUGUUGAAGAAUUUCACUGCUAAGAAUAGUAGUGGCAAUUCUACGAUACAUGAGUUCUUUCUUGGCAUUGAUCCUGGCUCAUUUAGGAUAUACUUUACUCCUCGUGGAUUGUCUUUUGCAUUUGUAAAUGCCAUUGAAGUCUUCCUUGCCCCUGCAAAUUUCAGCCCUGAGAAUUACCCAAGUAGUUCCCCAUUAGUUCUACAUACAAUUUACAGGGUGAAUGUUGGAGGUCAUGAACUCGGACCAGAUGAGGACAAACUAUGGCGAAACUGGGAACCUGACGAUCAUUAUCUGUUGAAUUCAAACCCUGUAGGGGAAGUUGGACCCUCACAGAAGCCUAGGUACUUGGAGUCUAAAAAUGAUGGUUUUGUUGCUGCUGCUAAUUAUUUUAUUGCCCCAGAUUUAGUUUACGAGACUGCCAAAGUAAUGAACAAUGGUAGUAGAAACCCAUCCACUUCGUUCAACAUAACCUGGUCGUUUAAUGUGCGCAGGAAUGCUAAACAUCUUGUCCGAGCACACUUUUGUGACCUUGUUGGCCAAGCUGCCGACAUUGUUUUUAACUUGUAUUCAAAUGGAAACUUCAUUAAGAAUGUCAAUAAUUCUGUGUUUGUCAACCCGAUACCUUACUACUAUGAUUUUGUGGUGGAGUCUAAGGAGUCUGAACUCAUUAACAUCAGCAUAGGUCCUAAUGUAGAAAAAACUUCCACUAACAAUUCCUUUCUAAAUGGACUGGAAAUGUUGGAAAUAAUGGAUGAAUUGGCACAAAUUCCAAAUAUGAAAGAGCACAAGAGCAUAAAUGUCCCUGUUGUGGUUGGUUCAGUUCUUGGAGGUCUGUCUCUUAUCUGCAUUUUGGUUGUCGGGUUCUUGUUCGGUUUGAAAUACAGAAAGGCAAAGCAUGUUGAAACUUCGGAAUGGUCACCAAUGCCUGCAUUUGGGGGAGGGAGUACCCACAGUAGGGUCACUGAGGGAACGAUUACUGGCUCCCCUAUGACUUAUCUAAAUCUUGGGUUGAAGAUAUCUUUUGCUCAACUUCAGCAAGCAACGAACAACUUUGACACAAAAUUUCUGAUAGGCAAGGGUGGCUUUGGGAACGUCUAUAGGGGAACUCUAUCAGAUGGGAGAAUUGUAGCUGUCAAGCGAGGUAAGCGACAUGAACAUAGUUCAGGUCAAGGGCUUCCAGAGUUUGAAACAGAGAUAAUGGUUUUGUCCAGGAUUCGUCAUCGCCAUCUUGUCUCCUUAAUUGGGUACUGUGAUGAAGGGUCUGAGAUGAUAUUGGUCUACGAGUUCAUGGAAAAGGGGACCUUGAGAGAACAUUUAUAUGAAUCAAAUUUGCCUCGCUUGCCAUGGAAGCAAAGACUUGAAAUCUGCAUUGGUGCAGCAAGGGGUCUUCAUUACCUCCACAAGGGUGCAGCCGGAGGCAUCAUUCACCGCGAUGUUAAGUCCACCAACAUCUUGUUGGAUGCAAAAUGUGUUGCCAAAGUUGCUGAUUUUGGCCUUUCAAGAUCUGGUCCACUUGAUGAAACCCAUGUCAGCACAAAUGUCAAAGGCACUUUUGGUUACCUAGAUCCUGAGUACAUACUGACUCAACAGUUGACAGAAAAAUCAGAUGUUUACUCAUUCGGCGUUGUUCUCCUUGAGGUCUUAUGUGCAAGACCUGCUCUGGCUAGGAAUCUACCAAAUGAGCAAAUAAAUUUAGCGGAAUGGGGAAUGAAUUGCAAGAAGAACGGAUUGCUUGAACAGAUUGUUGAUUCUUCACUCAAGGGUCAGAUUGAUCCUAGCUCGCUAAGAAAAUUCAUCGAGACAGCAGAGAAAUGCUUGCAAGAUGAUGCUAGUGAUAGGCCUACAAUGGAUGAUGUACUGUGGGACUUGGACUAUGCGUUACAGCUCCAGCAAACCGCAAAGCAUAGAGAGCCCCACGAGGACAGCACAAUCAAUGCUUCAUCAGAAUUCGUAUUGCCAAAUGUUCAGCAUUUUCCUUCCCAUAGCUCUACAGCUAACCCAGAUGAUAUGACCUUUUCCGGGGUGGAUGAAUCGGACACGGCAACAAACAAAGUAUUCUCACAACUGAAGAUUGGUGAUGCCAGAUAAACCUGUGCAGUGUGUGAGGUCUGUAAAUUAACCUUGUUCAAGUAUCUAUAGAUUGAAGAGCUAUAAGCCUACAAGUUUAAGUGUGCCUUGUUAAUUUGAGUCUUACUAGCCACGGCGUGUUAUUCGCAAUGUACACGUUUUAAAUAUAUUUAUAUGCGUAAAUUCACAAAAGGAAGGUUAAAUAUUUGAAGUAAAUGGAUAAUUUAGAUCAUGCUAGAAGAAACCCCUCAUAAACCAAUUAAAAUAGCUGAAUUUACAUAGUAAAAUCGAUUUCUAUAGAAUUUACAUUAAGAAUAAAGAAAAUAAUAUUUAAUAAACAAUUGAUUAAAUCAUAUUAUUAAUAGCCUAUUGUGAGGCUAAGCCUACCUCCUUCACCCUUAGUGUAGAUAAAAUUGUUUAUUUAAAAAAAAAACAAUCAUUUGACAAUUAAUUUAAUCACAUUAUUAUCCGUGUGUGAAAGACCUUUUUUUAUAACCGGCAUUACACGCCUCUUAAAAUGUUUUGAACAUGUUUAAAAAUAGAGAAAAUAAUAUUUAAUAAAUGAUUGAUUGAAUCAUAUUAUUGCUAGGCCAUUGUGAAGUUAAGCCCACCCAUCCACCUUAGUCUAUAUAAUAUCGUUUGUUAAAAAAAAAAAUAAUCAUUUGACAACUUAUUUAAUCAUAUUGUUAUCCGCGUGCGAAAAACCUUUUUUAUUCUUUUCUUUCUUCCCACUUAUAUUUAUAUUAUAUUUUAUGAUUAUCAAAUUACCAAAUUACCCUUGUAUUAUUUGAUAUAUUAUAUUGGGCUCCUUUUGGAUCUUUUUGGUUGAGGGGCAAUUUUGUCCUAAUAUUUUUGUCGAAUUGUGUGAUCCCAAAUUUUUGUCGGCAUGCGUGACCCCAUUGGGGCGCUGGUUUUUAUUAUACUAGCCUUCAUGCACGCGCUCAUGCACGUGCGGAAGACAUUUUUGGAAUCAUGGUAUGCUAAAUGUAUUUAUAUGUAUAAAUUAAUAUAAGGAAAGUCAAAUAUUUGAAGUAAAUGAAUAAUUUUAUAUCAUUCUAGAAGAAACCUCUCAUAAAUCAAUUAAAACAGCUGAAUUCAUAUAAUAAAAUUGAUUUUUAUAGAAUUUAUAUUAAGAAUAAAGAAAAUAAUAUUUAAUAAACAAUUGAUUAAAUCACAAUAUUGUUAGUCUAUUAUGAGGCUAAACCCACUCUUCCCUCUUAAUGUAGAUAAUAUCGUUUGUUAAAAAAAAAAAUCAUUUGACAACUAAUUGAAUCACAUUCGUAUGCGGCUGCGAGAGAAUUUUUUGUAACUGGCACUACGCAUUUCUUAAGUGUUUAAAAAUUGAGAAAUAAUAUUUAAUAAACAACCGCGUGCAAAAGGCAUUUUUUUAAUCAUAGCAUACUACGCGCGACUUAGACAUUUUAAAUGUAUUUAUAUUCAUGAAUUGCUUCAACAUUUUCUUAUUUUUUUAAUUUUUUUUAUCACCAGUGCUACGUAUCACAUCCAGGCCCGGGCCCCACCACAUACCGGGCUCGACUUCACCGUAGCACGAUAUUGUCCGCUUUGGGUCUCGACCAAUUCCUCACGGUUUUGUUUCUAGGAACUCACACGAGAACUUCCUAGUGGGUCACCCAUCAUGGGAUUGUUCUCGGGUGAACUCGCUUAAUUUCGAAGUUCCGAUUGAACCCGAAGCCAGUGAGCUCCCAAAAGGCCUCGUGUUAGGUAUAGAUGAGAAUAUACAUAUAAAGCUUAAAGGAUCCACUCCCUUGAACGAUGUGGGAUGUUACAAUCCACCCCUCCUUAGGGGUUUGACGUCCUCGUCGGUACACUUCUGGCCAGGGAUUGGUUCUGAUACCAAAUUGUCACAUCCCAGCCUCGAUCCUCACCACAUAUUGGGCUCGACUCUACCGUAGCACGAUAUUGUCUGCUUUGGGCCCCGACCACGCUCUUACAAUUUUGUUUCUAAGAACUCACACAAGACCUUCACAGUGGGUCACCUAUCAUGAGAUUGCUCUCGCACGAACUCGCUUAACUUCGAAGUUCUGAUUGAACCCGAAGCUAGUGAUCUCCCAAAAGGCCUCGUCCUAGGUAGAGAUGAGAAUAUACAUAUAAGGCUUAGAUGAUCCACUCCCCUGGGCGAUGUGGGAUGUUACACUAUGCGCUUCUUAAAAUGUUUUGAACACAAUAUUCAUGAUUUUUCUUAUUUUUUUUAUUAUAUUUUUCUUCCCAAUCACGUGGGUACCAUCAGGGCCGGUCCAGAGAUUUUUGAGGCCCGGGGCGACGUAAAAAAAGUGCCAUAACUUCAUGUAAGAAAAUUAUUUAUUUUCACAUAUAAGACAUCGAAAAAAAUUAUACUUAGAAAAACACUUCAAACUCAAUAAUUUAGAAACAUAGAAAGACUAAUUUAUUUUGUAUUGAGAGAGGGAAACAAAAAAACUUCGAGCUUACAAGUAGAUAGAUGAUGAGUUUUGUUUUCCAUUUGAACAAUGAAUGUGUUUUUGAAUAAAUCGUGAGAUGCUUUUUUCUUAUUUACUAACCUUGUCAAUAUGGGACUAAAAAAUAAUGAUGUUAUCGAGUCUUUAAUUGAUAUGCAUUAUUAAUGAAUAGACACUAAAUUAAACAUUUUGAUGACACAUCAUAUAAUUUGCAAAUUUGGUCUACAUACUAUUCUUUGUUGAAUAUUAGACUUGAAUUAAAAUGAAUAUUUAAAAAUAACAACCCACAUAGCUACUAGAUAGUAACUAAAAAUAAAUUAACAACCAAACAAAAAUUUGUAAAAAUUUAAAAAAAUAAACAUGUACAUAACAUUUCGAACUUAGGACCUCUUGUUAAUUUUAAACAACAAAAAUAAUUGUUUCUAAUUAAACUUCUUGAUCUUUUAACCAAAUUUUAUAAAUUUAUACUCUUAUAAAAAGAAAUUUGUAAAAAAUGGAAAGUAAAUAAGCACACAUGGUGUUUUGAACCUCAUUAUUUUCAAAUGACAAACCACCACUUCUAGUUAAAUUUCUGUGUCUUUGAACCAAAUUUUAUAAAUUUUUACUCUCAUAAAAAUGUAUAUAAAUAUAUCACCUUAAUAAUUUUGGUGCCCCUAAUUUUUUUGGGCCCUGGACGGUUGCCCUACCUGCACUGGGCCUGGGUCGGCCCUGGGUACCAUCAACUUUGUUAUUUGUUUAUUCUUUUCUCUCUUCCCAUUUAUAUUUAUAUUAUAUUUUAUGAUGACCAAAUUACCAACUUGCCCUUGCAUGAUUUGAUAAAUUAUUUUCAACAGGUUUUGAAUUUUUUUUCUGAGGGGCAGUUUGGUCAUCAUAUUGUCAAAGGAGGCGACACCAAAAUUUUUGUCGGCAUCCAGUGACAUCAAAUUUCACUGUUCAUCACACUGGUUUCAUUGUUCACUGCCCUUCCCCCUUUAUUAUAUAGAUAGAAAGUGGGUUCAAAGAAAGAAAAUUAAACCUUAAAAAAGUAUUGCAGCUGUGAACGGGACUCUAGAAUUUAGAUAUAAAUUAAAUUUAUGAUUCGGUGUUAAUCUAGGGUUUGCUUAAAUAGCUAAAGUUUGGAAAAAUAUAUAUUACCAUCUGCUGUUGCGUAAUCCAGAAAUAAUCCAAUGCGACAGUGAUGGGUGUAGUGGGUGUGAGCAGAUCAUAGAUUCAGUUUUCCAAAUAAUUUAAGUUAAGACUUUGGCUUUUGAUUAAUAAUAAUAAUAAUAAUAAUAUUGUCACAAAAUCUAAGCACGAAAGACCACAAAAGAUAGCAAUUUCUUAUCUAACAUCCAAUGGAUUAGGUUUCGGUGGUUCUGUUGUGGGUGAAAAUUCACCUGUUCCCAUUGACAAAUCAAGGCAAUUAAGGAAGAAUAUAUACACACACACUUAUUAACAUUUUUUUAAUACAUAUAUUUUAUACUAAAUGAUAGAGGAGUGGGUUAGGCCUUACAAUGAGCUGUCCAUAAUAAUUUGGUUCAAAUUUACUUUUGCGAGAAUCAGACUUAAAAUCUCUCAUUUACGAGUGAAAAUAAAUAUCACUAAAACGUAAUACUAAGUGAACACACUUAUUAAAAUAUUAAACUAUAAUACAUAAAAAUAUCAGUUAGACCUAAAUUUUGAAGGAGCUACCAUAUACAUAAUCCAUAAUUCCAUAUGGUUGGAGAAAAAGAUAGAGUGGGAUCUAGCUAGCUAGAGUAUAAAUUCUUUUAUACUCAAUGAACGAACAAACAUAUAUACGUGGUUGGAGUCCGACCAUGCCAUGCACAUGAACAUUGACGUUUCAUUGACGCCAACAAACUCUUGGUACUUGGUAGGCUAUAUAUAACAUCUUGAAAUUUGAUGUUGUGCUUGCUUACACAAGAAAAUACCUUAUGAAUAAUAUGUCAUCGAAGCUAUUUGUCAGUGCCAGAGUUAGAAAGCUAAAUUACAAGGGACUUUAUUAGGUCAUACGAAAGAAAUUGAUAAGGAGUAUAAGGCACGAAAUUGACAAUCAAAAGAGAGGGAUGAAGCUUUAGAAAUUUUAUGGGAACGCAUGAUUGAGAUGAUUAUAUCAUAAGAGUAAUUGAUUUUUAUGUCUUAUGUUUUCACAUGGAAAGCUAAACUAAACUUGUUCAUAAGCUUAUUAUAAAAAAUUACCACAUUAGAGUUAGAAUACAAUUUUAUGUUCAUGGCUCAAAAUUGCAAAAACGUUGUCUUGCAUUUAUAUACUACAAAAACAGAAAAAUGUCAUCGAACAAUUGUAGGAUAACCAAGCCUAGUGUAUAGUUUGGCUCGCCAAAUCGAUCGUCUCAGAGCUAAUUAUGGUUGUGUUUCAUUGUUAAAUCAAGUACUCUCGAAAUAUAACAUUCUGGAUACAUUUAUUACUUUGUAUUCUCAUAAUUUAAUACUUUGAUUCCACCAUUGGAUCCUUCAAAUAAGAGUAAUGCUAGACAGACAAUUUUUUUUAUCCAAAUUUGCAAAUCAUGUGAUGCAUUACCAAUAAAAAAUAAGCACGUUAAUCAACAAUUUAACAAUAAUCAAAUCACCAACAAUCACGUCAUAUGAUUUACAAAAUGAUUUAAAUAUAUGGUCUUUCUAGCAUUACACUUGAAAUAAACUAUCACAUUAUCAAAUCAAGUAUUCGAUUGGGAAAUUUAAGGAGAGCAAGAUAAAUUUUUUAGUGUGCCGGACACACGGUCCAGUACAUCAUGUAUCAUAAUACAAUUAGUUGAAUUUUUUUUUUCAAAUUUUCAACCAAUUGUAUUAUGACACAUAGUUUACUACGCUGACACACUGAAAAAUCUUUCAAGAAAGAGAGAGUCUCCAAUGAAAGUUUAGAUUGCGAGAAAUAAGAAAUUAAAUAAUCACAAAUGGUAUUUUUUUACAUAUUUGCAUGCUUUGCUUUGGGGUUAGUUAAUUCUAUUUCUCUAAUUUUUUGCGAAUCUUUUCAUAAUUAAAGUGCUCAUGUCGACCUCUUUUUUCCUCUUUUGGUAAAGAAAAACCUCAAUUGUUUUCUGUUUUUUUUAACACAAAUUAAUUUCUGUACCAAAUUGUUAUUGAAUUAAAUGCAUCAACAUUCGUAUAUGCAUGGGAUAUUUACGUCAACUGGGUUUUUCACGACAGUUGAUAAACCGUGCAUGUUUCGAUUUUUAUUCAAAAACCCUAAUCAGUUUUCCAUAAAAUAAAAACCCUAAUCGCUUUUACCGUAAUUACUAUUAGUUUUGCCAAAUGAAAUACAAAUAUAAAAUAAUGACCCUUUUUCAAACCCCGAGCUAAGUGCACGUUAAGAAUCCAAAAAUCAAGACCAAGUGGGUGGCUGGGCGCCGCUGUCAAACAGUAAAACCAGGCAUAUUUCUACCAUUUCAUGAUUUUCUUUUGGUAAAGGCCAAUCUUCGUACCUUCCGAGGGUUUUCUAAUUUGCCAAAAACAUAAUCCAGUGUAUUAAGUAUUAUAAUUAAUUACUUAUAUUAUAAUAUUUGUUGCAUUAAGUCGUGUUGUCAACACACAAAAAGAAUUAUGGUACCUUCCAAUUUAGAAAGCAAACUCAUGGACCCACUUAUAAACUUGCAAGCAACUUCCAACCCCACCUCUAACAUUGGCAACUUUAUUCCAUACUAUAUAGUUAAUUCCCAUGCUUUAAGCUCAUCUAAAACGAAAACCAUUAUAUAAAUAAAAAUAAUCAACAUUCUACAGCUCUUUACCUAUAAUGAGUCAAAUUUUACAUCAUCAAAUUAAUGGUUUUACAUAAAUGAAAGUUUAUGUACGUAACUGUGGUUCUCUUGCUUUACAUAUAAGAAGUAAAGUAUUUUGUAAAUAUAUUAGUAAUCUUGAGCACUUGAUCAUUGCGCCUUUAUAGGUAUGUUUGCAUGCAAAUCAUAUAUUGACACGGACGUAAAAACACAUACUAGAAUCAUACAAAAAAUGUAUUGACCAAAAAAAAAAAUCAUAAAGAAAAUAUAUAUUAUGUAAUUUGUCGGUAAGAAAGAACAACUCGGAAAUAAUGACAAUAAUAAAAAUAGGGUCAUAGUCAGAGAGGAAGGAGACCAAUGUCGUGAGUAGAUCUCUCUUGACGUGGUUUCCCAAUGGUUUUUUGUAUGUAUUAUAUGCCUUUUUUCUAUCUUUGUAACACAAUUAUAGCAAAUUGCAGAUCUCUCUCUUUAAACUGUUAAUUCAUCUCUCUCUCUCUCUCUCUCUCUCUCUCUCUCUCUCUCUCUCUCUCCUGUUACAAAACACCUUCACUUUUGGCAAUUUUUCAGUAAUCUCAGCUCUUCACUUUUUCUUUCAUGGGUUCCCCCUCCUCCUCCUCCUCCUCCUCCUCCAUUUAUAUAUAAACACAAGAGCUAGAGAAAGAAAAACUUAGAGACAGAGAGAGAGAUCUUGUUGCAGAUGGGUUCUGAUAUCUUGCAAAUGGGAUUCAUUUUCUGGGUUUCUUUUAGUUUCUUGGUUUGUGCUGUAAAUUCAAAGGUGGGGUUUGGAGGAGGAAGUGUGGAAGGUACAGUCCGCAUCAAUGGCAGAGACGCCAUUGCCAAAAUCGACGACGAUUUUAUUUGUGCAACUCUUGAUUGGUGGCCACCUGAGAAAUGCGACUAUGGUACAUGCAGCUGGGGUCGUGCUUCUCUCCUCAAUCUGGUAACACACACACACACACACACACACAUUUACAUAUACAUACACAUACACAUACACAUAAUGUUUCUCUCUCUCUAGAACACCUACACCUUCAUAUGUUUUUCUUUAGAUUUGUAAAUAAUCACAAAUCAUAAAUCUUUUUAUGGCUUUGGUUUUUUUAAAAGUUUAUAUCCUCUGAUUCCAUUUUCUGUGUUUUUAGUUAAAUAACACACAAAAAUAAAUAAAUAAACUGUUCUAUUGAAACAGGUUGUUUUCUGGGGAUUUUCACAAUUAUAACUGAUCCACAAGUCUUCAAAUUUACUUUUUCUUAUGAAUUUGUAUAUGUUUUUGCCAAUGUACGAUUCAAAAUAUCCGAAAUCUAUCUUUGUUUUGUGUUUUUGUUCAUAUUUUUUAGCAUUUAUAAUGCUUUCUGAUAUUUAUGUGAUAAUUCUUGUGCAGGAUCUAAACAACGCUAUCUUGUUAAAUGCUAUAAAGGGUAGGAAUUUCUUGAUUCCAUUAGAAAAACUCGGUUUUCGAUCCGGUGUUUAUAAUUAAGAGUCGAAAAACUUGCUUAAUUCUCUGCUAAUUGUGCAGCUUUCUCACCAUUGAAACUUAGAUUGGGUGGCACAUUGCAAGAUAAGGUGAUAUAUGCUACACCAGAUAACAAGCAAAGCUGUGAUGCUUUUCAAAAAAGCACUUCUGAGAUGUUUGGUUUCACUCAGGGCUGCUUGCCUAUGAAUAGAUGGGAUGAAUUAAGCUCUUUUUUUCAGAAAGCAGGGUAAAAAAAUAUAAUCUCUCUUCCUUCUGCUGCUUGAUUAAAGUUUAGAUUUUUGAAAACAAGAGCACGUAACAUUAUCCGAUUGACGAUCUCUUCAGGGCUAAGAUUAUCUUCGGAUUGAAUGCUCUCACCGGACGAACAAUUAAUUCGAACGGGACUGCAACUGGAGAUUGGGACUACACCAAUUCGGAGUCUUUCAUCCGUUACAGCGUCAAAAACAACUACACCGUACAUGGUUGGGAGCUUGGUGAGAACGCUUUUCGCACCAAAGUGUCGUUGAACAAUGUCACAAAAGUUAUAACGUACUUGUCUAGAAAAAACUGAGUGUGUUUCAAUUCUUGGCCAGGAAAUGAAUUGUGUGGACAUGGAAUCGGAACAACAGUCUCGGCGAGUCAGUAUGUAUCCGAUACAACUGCUCUUAAGAAGAUAGUACAAGACAUCUACAAGGGCGUCGAACCAAAGCCGCUGAUCCUAUCUCCGGGAGGAUUUUUCGAUGCGAAGUGGUUCAAAGACUACACAGAUAAAACCACCACAUCCUUAGACAUUGUCACUCACCAUAUAUAUAAUCUAGGGCCAGGUAUAACUGAUUGAACAAACACAUUGCAAAACGUCCUGUUUUUCGGUUUAAUUCCCAGCUUCCUAACUGAUAUAAGAAAUCUUUGCUUUUGUAUUCUCAGGGGUUGAUGAACACCUUAUUGAAAAGAUUCUCGAUCCAUCUGUUCUUGACAGUAUUUCUAGCACAUUCAGCAACCUCCACGGCAUCCUAAAGCGUUCUGCAACUUCGGCAGCUGCGUGGGUUGGGGAAGCUGGAGGUGCUUACAACAGCGGUCGCCAUCUUGUCUCCAAUACAUUUGUAUAUAGUUUCUGGUAACUUGGCCAUAACAUCUAAAGCAUCUUCUUUCGUUCUCUUGUUUGAAUUCUAGCACGAGUCAUAUUUUCGACGUUUCAAACAGGUAUUUGGAUCAGCUUGGUAUGUCAGCAUCUUACGAUACAAAAACCUACUGCAGACAGACAUUGAUUGGAGGAAACUAUGGUUUACUCAACACUAGUACCUUCGAGCCUAAUCCCGACUAUUACAGGUAACUACAUACCGAUCUUAAUUACCUUGAAGCCGAUUUUAGACAACAUUUUAACACAUACGAUGCUUUAUCCUGGCUUUAUCCAUGCCAGUGCUCUGCUUUGGCAUCGGUUGAUGGGAAGAAAUGUCCUCGCAACGAGCUUUUCUGGACCAAAAAAGAUACGUGCUUACGCACACUGCGCAAAACAAUCUGUAAGUCUAAACCGCAGCUUCAAUAUAACGAAAGACAACAAUCAGCACUCUUUGUUUUCCUGAGCUAAUUACGAUUUCAUCUUAACAGAAGGGGAUUACGGUGCUACUGAUCAACCUGCACAAUACCACCACGGCUGAGGUCAGAGUUGCCUUCAACACUACCUGGACGCUGCGACAUAAACACAAAUCACACAAGCCUCAUAGAUCACAUGUGACCAAGCUCCAACAGGGUCCCAGAAGUUCAACAGAAAGAGAAGAAUACCAUCUAACACCGAAGGACGGAAAUAUACAAAGCCAAACCAUGCUACUCAAUGGAAACGCUUUGCGCGUAGAUUCAUCCGGGAUCAUUCCUAGCUUAAACCCUGUGUAUGUAAAUGCAUCGGAACCAAUUUUGAUCGGUCCGUCCUCAAUUGUAUUUGCUCACAUACCAUACGUAGUUCCCCCUGCUUGCAGGUAGGCAAUGCUGAAAGUGUAAUCGUUAACAUUGUUUCAAUAAGAGAGAAUACAAUUCAAUUUUCAUCCUCCAUCUUUAUACUGUUCUACUCUUAAAAGUAGCUUAAGCGGUUACUUUUGCACCCGAAGUCCUGUGUUUGGAUCUCCGCUCACCAAAUAUAGGAACCAAUUCAAAUGUUGACAAAAACUUCUGACCUUUUGGAACAUAUUUAUACCAUGUGAAGUUGUGAACUGUUAAAACAGCUGUACAAUAUCAGACUCCACCCGUCGUCGUUUGGGGGCUAACUAAGAACACUUAUUCGAGAUUACAACAACAAAAAUGUGUAUGUCAUGGAAGAUUACAUAUACAUGUGCAGUAGCUUGCCUUCUAGAUGUACAGAAAGAACCAAAUGGUGAAUACUAAGCUAAUUUCCGAACACAGGUGACACUAGUUAUACAUUGAAUGACGAAUCCCGCUAAUUGGAAGCUUCAUUCAAGAUAAAAAGACUGAACUACACGAAAGGUUAGUCUCUCUUCGAAAAGGUUUGAGGCUUACUGCUGGCGAACACCAACCAAACGACUGUACCAGUCAGGUAGAAAAAUAUUGAUGGAAUGAACAAUGAUAUCUGCAUAACACGUAAGUGAAUCAGUUCAGAUGAAGUAAUUAAAGGAUGUAAACUAUUGAAGGUUGUAAAAAGUUGACAAGCACUAACAGAGGCUACUUACACUCCAUGAAUGAGUUGAAUCAAGAAGAAAGCCGGUGAGGGCAACGCCUAUUAUUCCAGGUACCGCCCCAACAGUGUUGGUAAUACCCUGAGUGGCAAAUUUGAAUCGUCAAAUCAACUGAAUUUAUAUCUGGGUCUGUUUGAUAUACGAAAAUGCAUUGACGUAUUUUUCAUUGAUACUCAAUGUAUAUCAAGUCCAAAAGGAGAUGCACUGCAUACAGCUCUUAGUAUCAUGAUUCACGAGUCAAUUACGUCAAGAAAUGGGCACGACAAGAACUACCAAGAUAAGUCAGACCAGUGAAUUCAAUCAUGCAUGUCGAUAGAUAAAAUGACACAACACAAACUUCCACCACCCACCCUUCACACCAGAAUGAAGGUGCAUAUCACUAAAAAUCCUAACAAAGAUGCAUAUGAUAUGGAUUUGAAUUUAAGUUGAUUAAUAAUCAAGCAAAGGGAAGAGAUAGGAUACAAACAAAAAAAGGACGCUCCAUAGCAUCUUCCAGGCUUCCAGCACACUAAUAAAAAUUCGUGUGUAAAGUUUACAUACCAAAAGUAUGCUCGCAUAUUCGGGUGACAUGUCUUGAUGGGUACAAUACAAUCCUGCACGUUUGAAUAUAUUAUGACUUUGCAGCGUAGGAGAAGAACAAUUCUAUUCACCAUCCUCCAAAAUCAAGCUUCAAUUUCGAUUGAUUUGUACCUGACAAGGCAAAGCUCGAGAGGGCUAAACCACCAGUGAGAAUCCCAACAACUUCCCAAUGCGGCAAUCCUAGAUCAAGAGAUGAAAGAGUCAUGCAAGCUGCAGGAGAUAAAAAGGCAAUUGUUUGGCAAACUUUUCGGACCUACAUGUACAAAACAAGGACAUCAGAAACAUUAAGAGUGUCUAAGUGCAAAAAUUACCUUAAGCAAGUUAAGGAAUGGUGCAAAACUCAUAUUAUGAACGUCACAAGUUUAUUAUGUAUUUCACAGGUAAAAGUAGCAAUUAAAUUAACAAGCCAACACAAACAUAUCCAUACACUUGAGAAAACUGUUGAGGGCGUUUUUCAUCUUUUGGAAAAACCUAAAAAGUUUCUUCUAGAUGGAGUUUUCUGAUUCCAUCAUAUACAACAGAGUAGCUCGAUCUAAAAUCUUCUUACCGUAGUGGUUUGAACUCCAGUAGAAAUCAAGCUAUCAGCAAAUUGUGAUGCAAUGCUGGUCACAAAGAUCGAAGCCAAUGGAGGAAGGAUAGAGACCUGAAACAAAUAAAAACCCCUUGAUAUCAUACAACUAAAUAGCUUUAUAAAUUGAUAAAACCGUAUGCAGAAAUAUAAUGCUUUGAUGGGCAUACUCGUUGAAUAAGUCUAGACUUACCCAUGCAGCUUCUGUCAAAUUCAGGUUCAGCUCUUCACUGCAUAGAAAAUUACAUACUUUCCUCAGAUACCAAGUCCUCACAAACAUACUUUUCAACAAAAGAUUAGAUAACUUAUAAAUGACCUUAAGUUAAUCUAGUACUUUUCGUUUUCCUUCUAUUUCUAGACUAAGUUACGGUCACCACUGUUGGCAAGUGUCCCCACAACUUACAUUCAUUAAAUAGACAAACAAAGGAAAAGCAUACCUCUCAAUCAUUAUACAAAGUAAAAAGUCUGCAUGAAUUACCUAAAAUAGGUGGGAAGCCACGCUAGGCAAGUAUAAUGACCCCAGCUUCCACAAAAAUGAGCAUAGAUCAUUGCCCAUACAGCUGGACUUUGGAAAAAUGCUUUCCAUGGUACAUCCUAUUAAAUAAAAGUAAGUAAGAAACCAAAUUACUACACAGUAAUCGCUAUGUAAACUAUGAUAAAACUUAAAAGCAAUGAUAUAAAUCAAAAGGUUUCAGUUAUUUUCUGAAUUAGUCUAACGACAACAAUAAAGUUUAACAUUCGUCACUUAAUUGUGAGCAUUUUCCUCGUUAACACCAGCAUUGCCCCAAGUCACACAUCUACAACAGAAAAAAGAAUCACACCUUCAACGAGUCACCCAAUUCUUCGGUACUCCAUGUUUUCUUCACAUCUGUUGAUUGGGACCCUAUCAAAUAUUUCCAAGAGAAUAAAAGGAAUCAUCACUAUGCAAGAAAUUUGGUACAUGAAAAAUAAGGCACAAACAUAUGCUUGAAUAUUGAUGACCUUGUCAACAGCAUCUGGUAUAGUUACCACACUAUCCAUGACGUGAAGUAUUGACAAAUCAUUAUCAAGAUCAAGUACAAUUUUUCUUGUGAAGUAUGCUUUGUACAAAUAAAUACAUAGUCUUUGGCAGAGUCAACUUUAUUGGCAUGCAAUGUGACAAAUUUUUUUGUCAUGCAUGAACGGGAAUAUACAGUGAUAGAAUGGUGUAUAUGUCUUUGGAAAUGGUAGUGAUCAGUGUAACUGUGGCGACAAUUGUGAUUGCUCAGACAUUAGCAAAAUGGUAGCAGUUGCAUCAGAAAGAGAGACAAUGUAGUGAAGAACAAUACGAGAGAAAUGAUAAGCACAAACAAUAGUGGUGCCUUAUCAAGCAUUAAUAUUCAUAAAGUAAAAGAAUAGAGUAUUAUGAAGCUAUCUCAUGAUUCCAAAACCAAACAGUUUUUCCUUAACAAAAAAGAUAGUGACCGGAAGGCAUUGGCUACUCAAAGAAACAGGCCCUUAAUAAAAUUGACCUCUGAUUUACUAGUCAACUUUAUCUUCGGAUAAGUAAUCAACUCUGUGCAUUUUUACAUGAAAAUAAGUAAGUUUUCUCCAAACAAACAAGGAUAAUGAAUAAGGGAUUAAAUGCUCACGUGGAAUUGAUUCACCAACCCAUGAGGCUUGUCCUUCGAGAAACUGAAACCCCAGAUACCUUCAAGGCAUGUAUAUUGGGAAACAACUUGAGCAUAUUGCCAGACUUCAGUAUUUAUAACAUUUCAUAUUUUUCUAAAAGAAAAGAGGAAAAAAGAGAGCUAUUAACAAUAAAUUGGCCAAGUAAGUUCUUUUAUAAUUAAUCAUGACAGAAGGUUGGUACUUGGCAGAAAAUCAAAAAAAAGGAAAAAGAAUAUUGUUUUCGUUCCUGGCAUAUUGAUAUAAACAAAUAAAUAAGUUUUCACAUUGGACCAGAAGAAGUUAAGGGAAUUAAUUCUUCAGCAAAAAGAAAAGGAGACCACUAAUUCUGAGGUGUUUGAAACCGCUACUUACCAAGCAAUCCCCAACGAGGAAAAUAUGUAAAAUACAGAUUCCCACCCCAGAUUUUGGAUAAGGGGAGGAGCCAGAAGAAACCUGCAAGAAGUCCAAAGUUACAAAUGGGUAUCAAUGAACACGGAGUACACAACGAAUAUAGACAUAAGAAAACCAAAUCUUCUUUAAAUCUUAUCCAUGCAACAUACCCUGCCACACUUCCUACACUCAGACCACCAAAGACAAAUGCUACAGCCCGUGAACGCUCUUCCAAAGGUAUUGUCCUGCAUCCGGUAAACGAUUAUUAGGGUUCUCAAACACAAAUAAAUUGGAUCCACUAGACAACCUGAAUUUGAACAAAAUAAUGCUUCAUGAACACCACCUAUGAAUCUAUGAUGGACCAAACUAAAUAUAAGAAUGUCAUACAUGCCUGGCAAUAAGGUCAGUUGCGGCGGAUGGGGAAACGCCUUCUCCAAUACCUACCUGUACUUCAAAGAUAAGAGCUCUCAGUAAGUAACAGGUAGGUUUGAUACUCAAACCAACAAUAAGUUGGAAAUCAAGCACGAAAACAAAGGGCUAAACAAAGUUGAACUGAUUUACAAGAAUCUGUAGAAAAUAGAAUAUAUCGUAGAUAAGCGUACCAAAAUUCUGGACAAAACUAAACCAGGUGUAAAUCCAGCAACAAGAGGGACAAGUCCCGUAGCCAAAGACCAAGUUAACACUCCAAACUGAAGAACUUUUCUGCAUUAGAAGAAAAUAAUAGAUGAACAUGGCUUAUCUGUCCCGGCCAAAAGAUAAAUAAACAAGCAUUUGGGGAUUGAACCAAUCCCGCCACGGAUGAACUGCAUGGUUCUACGUGAAAAUAAAUAAGUAACAUAAUAAAAACUUGAAAUGAGCUUUUGAAAAACAAACCUCCCACUAAAUAUCUUGGCAAGCCAACCUCCGGGCAACUGACUCAAUGCAUACCCCCAAAAGAACGACGAUUGAACCAAUCCCGCCUCGGAUGAACUCCAUCCAAACUGGUGAGACAUUGGAAUUAUAGCAAUACUCAAGUUCACCUGUCAAUCCCACAUGCAAAAGGAACAAACUUAAUUCGUUUAAAACCAAAAUGCAGUAAACCCACAACCCAAAAUCUACGUUCAAUUGCAUUUUUGCAUCAAAGUUCUUUCCUUUUCACCACGAAAGCAUCAAGGUUUAAGCUGAAAAUUUCAAGCCCAUAACUUGUUCGAUGAAUGCCUAAGCGAGAAAUAAAAACAGAGCCAGCAGAGCUACAGAACUACCUUAUCCAUGUUGCAGAUGACAAAGGCAAGCGAAGUAGUCCCAAUGAGCUUGUACCUCUGAGGUAUGUUCUUCCACGGCGGCCAAUCCCAAUCAAAACCCACUUCCCCAGACCCGCUCUCCUGACUCAAUUCCCCCUCAGAAUCCGUCCCAGAACCCGAACCCGCCCGUUGGACCUUAUCCACCGGUAGCCCAUUGACCCUCUUGGUUUCCCUGACGUUUUCCCUCUCCUGAAUGCUACAAAUCACUCUCAACUCCAAGUUGUUCUUCGGAGGAAACCGAAGCAAACGACGUCGUCUGGGUGAGGAGAGGGGAGAUUGUGAGCUUGUGCUGUGUGAAAAUAAGCAGGAGGAGCACUCGGCUCUGAGCGUGAGCUUCGCCAUUUCCGUGCGUAUCUAUCCGUGACUAAAAGGUGGCAAAUUCAAUUUGGUUUCUGUAAAAUUUGGAGGAGAAGGAAGAGGAGGAGGAGGAGAAGAGGAGUGAGGAAGCGAGCUACUGCUUGCUGCUGGUGGUGCUGAAGAGUUGGGGGAAUUUUUGGGCCACGGAACGGAUUGGUUUGUGGCUCAGGAUUUGUUUUGAAUUUGGAAUUUUUUGGUGGGGCCCGCUGAAUUGGGUCCCAACUCAACUCCCGCGAAUUUGGGACUCUUAAAUUUGUUUGGGUCGUAUGAGGAGUUUGGAAGGUCCAACGAUGUUAAUUGUCAAAAACAUCCAACCCUUCUUCAAUUCGAUUCACCUGAGCCCAACUGUGUUAGAGGGUCAUGAGGGGAUGAAACUUGGUACUAAAGUUACAUGAUAAGUGCGGCUAGUAUUACUGUUUAUUAGUAUUUUUUUAUAUAUAAAUAAGAGUUUUUAAGUUUGAUUUUCACAAAUAGUAAGUGCGAUAUCAAACUAUAUAUGUCAGCUCAUUGUGAGAAAAUUGAGUAGACCUAUGUUACCCACCAGCAGGUAUUUCGCAAAUAGCGAGUUCGAUACUGAAUUUCACUUUUGUAUCUUAAUUUUCAAGUGUGGGAAAUUGGUCGUUUAGUAUGUAAACUAGUUUUCGGUGGGAAAUGUGGGUUAACUCAAUUAUCUAUUUACAAUAUGCAUUUUCUUCUCUUAGCUUAUGCGAGCUAGAUUGUCUAACUGAAUAUUUAUUUUUAUCUUUUAUGGAUGAAAAAGGAGAAUUCGAAUUUAAAAAUAAGAAAAACAUUACUUCAGAAUAAAGUAGCUUAUAACAUACUUGAAUUUGGAAGAAGCCAUAUAUCUGUUGUUUUCUGCGAAGAUGCAAAUAUUUAAUUAUUUGUAUUGUCACGAGCUUUCCGGUAGAAAAGGUGAUGAAUAAAGAGUAAUGUUAUGGAAAUUAAAUUUAUGGAUUAAAUUUUGAAAAUUAAAAGACAUGGAAAUUGAUAAUUGGUUUAUUACUUACACGUUGAUAAACAUGCUUAUUCUUAUUGGUGAUAUAUUAUUUAGUUUACAAAUUUAGUCAUCAAAUUUGAUCUACUUAGCGUUACCUGAUGAAUAAAAUAUGCUAAUGAAAGUGCCUUGUUGCUGGAAUCCUUCGUCUUUUCUCGUGCAAGUAACCUUAAAAUAGUGAAUUAAAACCUUAAAAUAGUGAAUUAAAAGUUGAUCUGCAUGUCCUUUGUUAUGAGUAGAAGGAACCAAAUCAUAUAAAUUUUGAGUAGAAAAUUAUUUAAGUUUGUGUGUGUCUAUAUAUAUAUAUAGAGAGAGAGAGAGAGAGAGAGAGAGAGAGAGAGAGAGAGAGAGAGAGAGAGAGAGAGGAAACUUUCAAGGGAGGGUUUUGGGGGGUGGACGAACAGGGUUCGGUUUUUGUUUUUUGUUUUUUUUUUUUUUUUUUCUCUUCUUCCUCCUCCUCCUCCUCCUUCUUAUAUAUAUAUAUAUAUAUAUAUAUAUAUAUAGAGAGAGAGAGAGAGAGAGAGAGAGAGAGGAAACUUUCACGGGAAGGUAUACCCAAUUUUUUUAUAAAAAUGAGAAUUAGUUGUAGGGUCUGCACCAUAUCGAAUUUUAAUGAUCCGAAUCGUUUAUUUUUUAAGUUGCACUUCAUAUAUCAUCCUUAUAUAUAUAUAUAUAUAGAGAGAGAGAGAGAGAGAGAGAGAGAGAGAGAGAGAGAGGAAACUUUCAAGGGAAGGUAUACCCAAUUUUUUUAUAAAAAUGAGAAUUAGUUGUAGGGUCUGCACCAUAUCGAAUUUUAAUAAUCCGAAUCGUUUAUUUUUUAAGUUGCACUUUAUAUAUCAUCCUUAUAUGAAAGGGUCUGAUCAACUGCCCGGCCACCUCUUUAGCUCAUCUCUUGUCAACAUACUUGAAUUUGGAAGAAGCCAUAUAAAAUAUGGAGGCAUAUCUGCUGAUUUUCUGCGAAUAUGCAUAGAUAUUGAUUAUUUAUAUUAUUAUGAGCUUUCCGGUGGAAAAUGUGAUAAAUAAAAUAUGCUAAUGAAAGGGCCUAGUUGCUGGAAUCCUUCGUCUUUCUCGCGCAAGUUUCCUAAAAAUAACGAUGUAAAAGGUGAUCUGCACGUGCUUCGUUAUGAGUAGAUGGGACCAAACCAUAUAAAUUUGGACAGAUAAUUAUUUAAGCUUAUGGAUGGGAUGCGUUUAAUUUAUGAUUGAUUAGAUAUUGAUCUUGAAAAGUCAUGAUUUCUAAAUAUAAACCCAUAUAAUUAAACAUCUAACAAAAAUCUAACAGUCAAAUAAAUUGCCACAUAAUAAUAUAAGUAACCUAUUACUACAAAUUAUUUACAAUUUUUGCCACAACCCACACUUGAAAAUUAGCUUCAAUCAAGGGCCUUAUAAUCUAAUUAAUCAUCCUGAUGUUUUUUCACUUUAUUUAUUUUUAAUUUCUACAACAUUCUAGUGCAUUACUUUAAAUCAUGACUACAUUACUAUUCGGUGUAAAUUAUUCUCCUUAUAUAUAAUAUUUAAACGUCUCUACUUUACCUAUAUAAAUAAUAUCACACUAUAAUAUGUAAUUUACCUACAAUAAAUAAACCAAAUAUUCUCAUAUUUCUUUUGGCAAUUUACCUAUGAUAUAUGCAAAUAAUAUUCUCAUGUUUUAUUGGCAUUUUUCCUAAAUUAUGCAAGUAGGUAAAUUUCAAUAAUAGUAGGUAAAUUAUGUUCGUGAUUUACCUACAUUUUUUAUGUGAAUCAAAUAUCUAGAUUGUAUAUGUAAAUAAUUUACGUAUAGUUGGUUCUUUUCUUUUUCAUUGUCCUAAAAUUUAUUUACGUGCAAUUUUUAUCUUCUUUAAUUUAUAUAUUUUUAUUUUGACAACAAAUUUUUUUAUAUAUUUUAAAGUACAAUAAUUUACCUAUAUAUAAUAUGGACAUGUUGUAAUGGUAAAUUGGAAUUCGAGAGCCAAACUAACCAACAAAUCCCUACAUUUAUAUGCAAAAUAUUAUUUUUGUAAAAUCAUUAAUUCCCCGUUACAGUUUGCAUAGAAUUAGCUGUGUACAUUAAAUAUUCAAUAAGGGUGUUUUAGGCAUCUGAAAAUUUUUAAAUGGGUAAAGUCAAACAUAAUUAAAGAAUUUGCUUAUGUGGAGUCUAGUCAAUGGGUUUUAUUCGAGCAAAAAAUUUAUGUCGGGUUUUAUGUGGAGAAUUAAGUUUCAGGAACUAAAGUCAUAUUUUAAGUUUAAUUUAUGACCAAGAAUGAUUAUCGUGGAAAAUAAAUUUUGAGUAAAUUAUUUGAGCUUGUAUGUACACGCGCGCGCGCGCAUAUAUAUAUAUUCCCCAGCAGUGGAUUAAUAUCGGUCACAGAUUGACAGAGAGAAAAUGGCCAUGACCAAUGUCCAAGAAAUGUCUAUGAAUGGUGAGCAGCCACCUGCUGAAUAUAUUGUUAAAGAAAGUAGGUUUGGAUCCAUAGAUUCUUCUCCACCAUUGGCUGAUGAAAUCCCCAUUAUUGAUAUCAGUCUCUUCUCCCCAUUAUCUGCUCAAUAUUCUGAACAAGCAGAAAAUCAUGAGCUACAGAAACUCAGAUCAGCACUCAGCUCGGCAGGAUGCUUCCAGGUUUCCAUUUUCUUUUUCUUGGUAUACUAUUAUAUAUGUUAAAGUAUAUUUUGCUGUCUCUGUAUUCUCCAUGUUACCAUGUUAGACAUGUAAACGAAUCGGACUCGACUACAUCUUAUCCAAUCUAAUCCAAUUCAAUCCAAAGAAGAACAUAAUUUGAUCCGAUCUGAUAAUCUGAUGUUUUUUCGUUGAUGAAAUUGGACGGAUUAUGGAUAAACAAGUUCAUAUCUGAUUAACUGAACUAAUGGAAUUCAAUAUUUAUAUUCAUGAUUUAAUGAAUUCAGGCAAUAGGCCAUGGGAUUUCGGAUUCACUUCUUGACAAGGUACGUGAAGCAGCAAAACAAUUCUUUGCACUUCCAGUAGAAGAGAAGGAAAAAUACUCCCGCGCAGUUCAUGGCGGAGCCGAAGGAUAUGGGAACGAUGUCGUAGUAUCGGAAAAGCAAGUUCUUGACUGGUCCUAUCGUCUCACUCUCAGGGUCUUCCCAGAAACCAAAGAAGGCUUCAUCUUUGGCCUCAAAAUCCAAAUGAUUUUGGGUACGUCCGUACACUUUAGGGUUUGCAUUACUAUUGCCUGCCUUGAGGAUUAUAUAGCUAGUCUACUAUGGACACAUCUUGCAGAGAUUUUUCAGUGUGUUGAAAAUACAGCUCGGUACAUUAAGGGUGCGUUUGGUACGGAACGGAACGGAACGGGACGGGACGGGACGGAACGGGAAGGGACGGGACGGAACGAAGGUGUAAUUUUUGAAAAAGACAUGGGGUAUAUUUGUCUUAAAAUGGUAAAACAUUGUGUUCCACAGACGUGGAACAAACCCGUUCCAGGGGGGGAGGUGGAACGCAAAAACACCCAAAAUCUGUCCCGUGGAACAACCCGUUCCACCCAUUUUUGGCGCACCAAACGCGGGACGGAACGCCUCGUCCCGUUCCGUCCCGUCCCGUCCCACGUACCAAACGCUCCCUAAGUGUAAUUAUACAAUUGGUUGGAAAUUUGAACAAAAUAUUUAAACCAAUUAUAUUAUUACACUUUGUGUAGUGGUCCAUUUUUCCGGCACCCUAAAAAAUUUCUCCACAUCUUUAUAAUUGACGGAAAAUCCAUAAAUUAACAUUCAAAUAAGAGAAUAUUAUAAUUUGUAGAAAGAUGCUAAUGGGAUAUGGUAUUCGUUGAAGCAAGUUGCGACUGUCACUUUGAUAUAAUUGGACAAAAUCCACAGAUUAAUAUAUAACAUAUCUAUGAAUGUGUGUAUAAUUUGCAGAGAGAUGUUACAUGAAUAUGCAACGAAGGUAAAGUUGAUGAUGGGUAUUGUGUUCAAGGCAAUGGCAAAGUCGUUGAAUUUGGAAGAUAACAGCUUUGCAAAGCAGCUGUUUGGAGACCAAUCCCUGAUGCAAGCAAGGUUCAACUUCUAUCCUCCGUGCUCGAGAUCUGACCUCGUCCUCGGCGUCAAGCCUCACACGGAUAGGUCCGGCGUGACAUGUCUCUUGCAAGACAAGGAUGUGGAAGGCCUUCAAGUUUUGAUAGAUGGAAAAUGGGUUAGAGUCCCCAUUGUUCCUCAUGCUAUCGUUCUUAAUCUUGGCGAUCAGAUGCAGAUCAUGAGUAAUGGUAUUUACAAGAGCCCAAUGCACAGGGUGGUGACAAAUGGAGAGAUUAUGAGGCUAUCAGUUGCCUUGUUCAAUGAACCCGAUCCUGAAACCCAGAUUGGUCCCGUCGAGGACUUGAUCGACGAGACAAGGCCGAGGUUGUACAAAAAUGUCAAGAAUUAUGGUCGUAUUAACUACGAAUGCUAUCAGAGAGGGGAAAUUGCACUCGAAACAGUCAGAUUCUAAUUUUUCUGCACACUAGCUAUCUUAAUUUUCCUGUUUUACGUGAACCUAAUAUAUGCUUAUCUUUCGAAACAACAAUUAUUCCAUGGACAAGGGAUAUUAUCUGUUUUUUAAUUCAGGAUAUGGUGUUUACAAUUAUCCUACGUGAACCUUGUGAAUUGGGUUAAUUAUAUUUUUUUAAUAGUUCUAUGAUGUGAAAAUACGUGGUAGUAUCUUGUUUAUGACAAUAAGACUUCGAUUCGAUAGAUUCUUGUGUGUGAAAAUUUGUUUAUAUUUUUCAUUAAUCAACGUAGAAAAGUUUGAGAAAGAAAAAAAAUUAAUCAAAAAAACUUUGACUAAUUCUUUUUAGAUAAUGUUAGGUAGACUAUCUAUUUAAACUAUAUUAUUUUGUAAAUAAUAUAAUGUGGUUGUUGAUUAUUGGAUUAAUUUUUUUAAUAGAGAGGGCGUUUGGAAUGUGCAAAAGGUGCAGUUGCACAAGGUAGGGCCCUGAAUUUCUGAGGGCCCCACAUAUUUUUAUCCUCCUAUACAUUACAUAUGAGUAUAAAUUUUCUAAUAAAAAUAUUUUAACUGAAAAAUAAAAAAUCAUCAUCAUAUGAUUUUAUCUAUAUUAUUAUUACAAUUGAUUAAGUGGAGCAUAUACUUAAUAUAUUAACUUUCUACUUUUCUUUAGCAGUAAAAACACUUGUGUUAUUUUCUUCCACUUUCUUUUAAUAAUAAAAAAUUAACUUGUGUAUUACUUUCUUCCACAUACACAAGCGUAUUUCCGUAUCUCUCUUCCAGUCGUGCUCCACUUUUUCAUGUAUGAACCCUAAAUCAUGAUGAUUUCAUGCAAUCAGAAUUAUUCAGCUAGUAAGAGUGAGAUGCUAAUUUCAAUUAAGUUAGAAUAUUGAUUGUUGGAUUCUGUAUGAAUGUAUUUUAAAAAAAAAUUUCUUAAAUAAGGAGGCCCUUUUCAUUAAAUUCGCAUAGGGCGUCCCAAUGUCAGAAAUGGUAUACUUAAGUGUUGAUUAAUAUAUUUAUUUUAUAUUGAUGACACAUCACCUGAUUUACAAAUUUGGUAUAAAAAGUUGCUCUACCUUGCAUUACUCAUUGUUUUUUUCUUUCUUGUGAUGGAUCAAAAUCAAUGUUGAUGGUUCUUUCUGAUGAAAUUGAAGUUCCACCAUAAAACCAAUUGGUAAUAUGGGGAGUAGCCUAAGACCAUAUAAGCACAUAGCAAACCUUGUCCCUCACCGAUGUGGGACAACUCUCAACACGCCCCCGCACGUGUGGCGGAUUUUCAAGCCUACACGUGGACAACAACUGGGUGACGUGGAGCGUGUCGCCGUUUGGCUUCACACGAGAACAAUCUGCUCUGAUACCAUGAUGAAAUUUGGGUUCCACCAUAAAAUCAAUUGGUAAUAUGGAGAGUAGCCCAAGACCAUAUAAACACAUAGCAAACCUUGUCCCUCACUGAUGUGGGACCACUCUCAACACGCCCCCGCACGUGUGGUGGAUUUUCAAGCCUGCACGUGUGGUGGAUUUUCAAGCCUGCACGUGUGGUGGAUUUUCAAGCCUACACGUGAACAACAACUGGGUGACGUUGAGCGCGUGUGGCCGUUUGGCUUCACAUGAGGACAAUCCGCUCUGAUACCAUGAUGAAAUUGGGAUUCCAUAAUAAAACCAAUUGGUCAUAUGAGUAGUAGUCAAAGAUCAUAUAAGCACAUAGCAAGCAUUGUCCUUCAUCGAUGUGGGACAACUCUCAACACGCCCCCGCACGUGUGGCGGAUUUUCAAGCCUACACGUGGACAACAACUGGGUGAUGUGGAACGUGUGUGGCCGUUGGGCUUCACACAUGGACAAUCCGCUCUGAUACCAUGAUGAAAUUGAGAUUCUACCAUAAAACCAAUUGGCAAUAUGGGGAGUAGCCCAAGACCAUAUAAGUGUUAACUACAUUGUAACGUUUGAGAAUUGAAAGAAAAUCAAGAAGGAAGAUGAAGAGAAGAAAGAUCAACACAUAGAGUUUUAGAGAGAGAGAGAUCUAGAGAGAGAAAUAUGCUUUUGUAUUGAUUAAUUGAAUGAAGGUAACACAACUGUUUUUAUAAGAGAAAGCUUAACUACUCUAACCAAAUACUAACAACCUUACUAAAUAUAUUACUGACUGUAUUUCUAGCUUUAUUACACUUGUACCUUUAAUACUUCCCCUCAAUCUCAACUGGGGUAUCCCAUUUUGAGAUUGCAGCAAAGUCUCAAAUAGCAAACACUGAAAUAUGGACAAAUGGACGCACUGCAAAUUGAUCCUGAGCUUGAAAAUGCAUUUAGCUGUCACUUGCAGGACCAUUGGUUUUGUAUCCGGAAAGUGAGUGGAGAGUGGUAUAGUUUUGACAGUCUUUAUGCGGCACCAUUGCACCUCUCAAAUUCUCAACCGCAAUAUCAAAUUCCAAAUUUCAUUUUUUCUUCACCAUAAGUGCACCAAAAACCCAUUUCUUCUCAACUCUCUCAUGGGUUUCUGUAACAGUGAAAUCACAUUCAACUGCAUAAUCUGCACCUUUCUCAAAUUGAUAGGUAUCCAUAUUCAACAUGCUACUUGCACAGCUACUUGCUCACUAAACUGACAGGUAUUCAGAAUUUAAAUCCAUACUGUGUAGCUACUGUUCUCUUUGCUCAUCCCAUUAUCAUCACACAUCAUUUUUGCAGAUACAAUCUUCCAAAAAGAGAAUGUUCUCCAAUAUUUCUUUCAACAUACUCAGCAAGAUUAUGGAGCCAUUUUGUAUGCAAAAGCCUUUGUUUCCAAUAGAAUACAGAAUCAAAGAAUAGCCUUUUAUAAAGUUGUAACACACCCUCAUGCCGGUUAUAACAAUUCCUUGCGGGAUUACCCUUUACCGUCAUCAACUUCAUUUAACAUUGGCAUUGGCCUUUAAAACAAAAAAUUAACAAACUAUAGUGUGGCAUCGACCUUAACUAUAGUACCACGGGAUCGCCCUUUGUGGAUUUUACCAAAAAACAACUACGGCCUUAACAAUUUCAACAACAACAAAAUCAACAUCUAUGUAGGAUUACCUUUCGUGGGAUUUACCUACUCACAUCACGGAAUUACCCUUCGUGGGAUUUACCAUUUAACAACUUCUUCUACCCUUUGUGGGAUUUACCUAUUCACAUCACGGAAUUACCCUUCGUGGGAUUUACCGUUAACAACUUCUUCAAACUUCAUUGUAUAACCAGACUUACUGUAGAUUCAUGCUAACAACUGAGUUGGUUAGACUUUGAAAUUAUAGGCUGAGAUAAGCUGCUGAACAAUUUAAACCCAAUGACAAGACAUCAGAAAUUCAAGGACUUACAGAGUAACUUUACCAGCAGGACACUACUUUGUUGGCUAUUCGAAGAAAAAAUAAUCUCAACUCAGUGUAGUUGCACCGACAUGAUACCAUAAUUGCGUACUGAUCAGCAGUUGAAGUACUCUUCUUUCCUUCAACAGUUCAGGUGCAGACUAAUUCAAGGCAUCCAGUUGAAAAACAGUGCUAGAAAUUGUUCAGAGAUAAAAUAUUUCUCAAAUUCUCAUGGAAUGCAAGUCAGUUAAAUGCCUCCCUCUUGUGUGGUAGCUUUGGAUCAAGAAAGGGAGUACUCCUCAGUUCCUGAAUCUUUGGUUCUUGAGCAAAAAAAGCCCAAAAAACACAUUGGAGUUCGGCAACCAUUCAAGAUAACACAACGAAAGUAAUCAGGGUCGGGUGGGUUGCAAGUGUGUGCGUGAGUGCAAGCAUGUGUCUCCUUAAACAGGUCAUCGAAGAAGCUGUCCAUUGAGCAACUACUCGCAAGUUCACCGCCCAUGUUUGCACCCGGAAACACCUCUUGGUCGUCCAUUAGGGUGAAUAACAUGAAGACCAAAUAGGAAUAAGCUCCAACCGAGUGAAAAAGCACCAAAAUUUCAAAAAAACUUGGCCUCGACCCAGACCAAAUUUCUAGCACGAUACUCUUAACAGACUGAAAUUAGAGAAACCCAUAUGAAAAUUUGAGGUUCUUGAUUCCUGUUCUGCACGAACAGAGCGAAAUCCACCGAAUCAAUCACGACCCAGAUAAGAAUUCAACAACCCAAAAAUCUAAAAUCGAUUAGAAAUGGUUGAAAAUGAAAGAUUCCCAGCGCGGACGAUUAACAGUAGGAGCAAUUCAAAAUGGUAAAAUGAUAAAAUUGUAGAACUAUUCAAAAGAGUAAAAUGAUGAAAACGAUGAAAUCUAAUGAAAAAUGGAACCACCAGAAUCCAUGGCGUGAGCCUGGUGGCUCUGAUACCAUGUUAACUACAUUGUAACGUUUGGGAAUUGAAAGAAAAUCAAGAAGGAAGAUGAAGAGAAGAAAGAUCAACACAGAGAGUUUUAGAGAGAGAGAGAUCUAGAGAGAAAUAUGCUUUUGUAUUGAUUAAUUGAAUGAAGGUUACACAACUGUUUUUAUAAGAGAAAGCUUAACUACUCUAACCAAAUGCUAACAACUUUACUAACUAUAUUACUGACUGUAUUUCUAACUGUAUUACACUUGUACCCUUAAUAAUAAGCACAUAGCAAACCUUGUCCCUCACCGAUGUGGGACAACUCUCAACACUUUCUGUGCUGCCACGGAUACUGAGGGUAUUGGUGUGGUUUUUUGCGACGAAGCCGGUAGCUAUGCUGGAGGUUUCAAUCGUAAAAUAUCGCACAUGACAAACCCCAAGACGAUUGAGCUUUUAGCUGCUCGGGAUGGUGUUUGUUGGGAAUUAAAUCAACAUUGGCAGCAGGUAUUAUUGGAGAGUGAUGCUUUACAAAUAGUUCAAGCAAUUUGAAGUCUGAAGGAGGAGAUCCACGGCCUCUGAUUUGUUGAUUGAGGACAUUAAAGUAAGUAUGAGGGGCUUUGUUUCCUCUCAAGUAUAUCAUAUCCGUAGAUCCGUCAAUGUUGCAGCACAUCGUAUGGUCAAGUUGACUUUAAUUUCCAAUUUCAAUUUUUGUUGGUUUGAGGAACCUCCAGAUUUAUUGGCGGAUGUCAUCCUUGAAGAUUGUAUGCCUUCUUCCUAGUUAUAAAUAAAACCACUAUGGUUUCUUUUCCAAAAAUAAAUAAAUAAUAAUAACAGUAGUGGGUGAACAAGAAAAUGUACCCAAAGAAAAAGAAGAGAAAAUGUUAAAUUUAUUGACAAAAAAUAUGAAGAAAAAAAUGAGUAUUAUUUAAAAAUCGAGGUGUAAAUUAAAAAAAAAAAUACUUUUGGAGGAAUAAGGAAACAAACAGAGAUAAUUUUGAAUUAAAAAGGAGAUAAUGUUGUUGACUAAAUUAAUUACCAAUAAUUCAUAACUAAUAUCCCGGCAAAGGAAAUAAAAAUAAAACCUAUAACUAAAAGGAAAAAUUUGAAAAUAAAUAUAGGCCUUUUUUAUUGGCACCCCAUAAUGUUAUGAAUACACCCCAUUAUCUUGUAUUUAGUCUGAAUUUCCUUUUCUACUGUCACAUCCUAGACCGGCUUCGCCGUAGCAUGAUAUUGUCCGCUUUGGACCACGCCUUCACGAUUUUGUUUUUAGGAACUCAUGAGCAACUUCCCAGUGUGUUACCUAUCCUGGGAUUGCUCUAACCCAAACUCGCUUAACUUCGGAGUUCUGAUGGAAUCCAAAGCCAAUGAGUUCCCAAAAAGCCUCGUGCUAUAGGGAGGUGGGCAUGUACAUAUAAGGCACAUCACCCCCUAUCCGUUGGUUGAUGUGGGAUGUCACAAUCCACCUUCCUUAAGGGCCCGACGUCUUCGUCGGCACACCCGCACCACACGACAUAGUGGCUCUAAUACCAUUCUGUCACAUCCCAGUCUCGGCUCCGUCAUAACACAAUAUUGUCAUCUUUAGGCCCCGACCACGCCCUCAUGAUUUUGUUUUUGGGAAUUCAGACGAGAACUUCCCAGAGGGUCAUCCAUCAUGGGAAUGCUCUCGCCUGAACUUGCUUAACUUCGGAGUUCCGAUGGAAUCCAAAGCCAAUGAGUUCCCAAAAUGCCUCGUGCUAAAUGGAGGGAAGCAUGUACAUAUAAGGCACAUCACCCCCUCUCCGUUGGUCGAUGUGGAAUCUCACAAUCCACCCCCCUUAAAGGCCCGAUGUCUUCGUCGGCACACUCGCACCACACGGCAGAGUGACUCUGAUACCAAACUGACAUACCCCGACUCGAAAAGUCCAAUUGGACUUCGAAUCGAGUUGUGCUGGCCUAUAGGGUGACGAAGCCAUAAAGUGUAGUGUAGUGGAAAAAGAAUGUGAAUAAAUUUAAACAUAAAAGUGCCUAAACAAAAGAGUGUGCGGGUGAGCGGGAUUGCAUCUAUUUCACACGUGAUGGUAGAGCAUAAAAACAAUACAGUAAUUAGGGUGAGGGUUAUACCACUGAAGAUAACUAUCUCCUGAAAUUUGCCAGAACCCUCGUUUACACGUAAGCCCAACUACUAAACCUGAAAGGGCGAAAAACAAAGUUGAGUGGGUCAACAAAACAACGUUUGUAAGGCAAACCUUUAUUUUCGAACAUAAUAACCCAUCGCUAUAAAAUAAGUAUAGUUUCCUUAAAAUCAAACAUACUACAAUAUAAGUAUGAAGAAUCAAGCGCAUGCCAACAAUAUAUAUAUCUCAGAAAUGUGCCAAAACAUUAAUAAUUCAGCCACAAUAGAAAUAUAGGCAUGUGUUUGACAAUAUACUAACACGCAAGUAUAUACUAACAUCAGUCUAUAGUAACACACGAGUCGGAGUCACCUAAUGUGACAUGUACAACAAGCUAGGUGUAAUAAUAGACGCUCUAGUGCUACGAUCACCUAAAGCUUGCUCUAAGCGCAGUCAACUACAAGUCGAACCUUCCGAGUUGGUGAGUAAAAAAUUGUUACAUCCCAGACUCGACUCCGUCGUAGCACGAUAUUGUCAGCUUUGGUCUUACCAUUCCCUCACGAAUUUGUUUCUGGGAACUCAGACAAGAACUUCCUAGUAGGUCACCUAUCAUAUGAUUGCUCUCAUCCGAACUCACUUAACUUUGGAGUUCCUAUGGAAUCCGAAGUCAAUGAGUUCCCAAAUAGCCUCGUGCUAUAUAGAGGUGGACAUGUAUAUAUAAGGCACAUCACCCCCUUUUCGUUGGUCGGUAUGGGAUGUCACAAUCCACCCCCUUAGGGGCCCGACAUCCUCGUCGGCACACUCGCACCACACGACAUAGUGGCUCUAAUACCAUUCCGUCACAUCCCAGACUCGACUCCGCUGUAGCACGAUAUUGUUUGCUCCGGGCUUACCAGUCCUUCACGGAUUUGUUUUUGGGAACUUAGACGAGAACUUCCCAGUGGGUCAUCAAUCCUAGGAUUCAUCUCGUUCGAACUUGCUUAACUUCGGAGUUCCUAUGGAAUCCGAAGCCAAUAAGUUCCCAAAAGGCCUCGUGUUAUAGGGAGGUGGGCAUGUACAUAUAAGACACAUCACCCCCUCUCCGUUGGUCAAUGUGGGAUGUCACAUCUACCCUAAUUUAAAUUAGAUAAAAGCAAACAAACAAAACCAGCACCAUCUUCAUCAUCCUAAAUCCUACUCAUUUUCGAUAGCUCCCCACCUUGGCACCUCCAUUAACAAAAUGAUCUCAAGUAUGCCAAAACAUAUGCCGACUUACAAUUAAACUAGCCAAUAGUCUCAUAGAAAGUCAAUUCCUAGUUGACACAGAAGGAUUGCUUCUCUGCAAGUAACAUUUUUCAAAACUUUCACGGCCAUGAAGUUGGUAUCCUUGAUUAGGCUAAUAUCGACAUUAUAAAAUUUAAUUUUAUGGUAUUUCAUAUCCUGCAAAAUAUUAGCGGAAGUGAGAAUUCUAGAGAGAGAGAGAGAGAAUAGCGAGAAAUGGGGUGGUUAUCAUUGGCCGACACCGACUAAAAGGUGGCAGAAGGGUGAGCGGUUGAGAUAGGAUGUUAGAAGGUUUUAAUUUCUUAACUAUUAUAAAAUGGUGGUCUUAAACAAUGAAAGGGCUAAUAUUGGAAUUUUAAAGAAUAAUUUUGAAGUUUGGAUGUAUUCAUAAAAUUAUGGGAUGUUAAUAAAAACACCCUAAAUAUAUGGCAUCUUGGUUUUAAAAAACAAAAGUUCCAUAUAAAUAAAUUAAAAACAAAUAUGUUGACAUGGCCUUUAGUCAAAGCGCCUUGAUUAAAGUUUGAAACGGAACGAAUGUUUAAUAAAAAGAGGUAAAAGAUGAGUGAGGGAUUUUACUUAUCUCUUAUUUUAUAUAGGUAAGUAGAAGUUCUCACAAUAGAGUGUUUGAUAUCAAAUUAUUGUCAGUUUAUUGUGAGGAAGUUUUUUUUAUUUAUUUAUUUUUUUAAUUUUUUUUAUAAAGGGGGAUAACUGGUGACAAGUCACGGUUAUUCAUCCCUUUCGGGGGUUGGGAAGACUCACAGAGGCAUUUCCUAGCCACAAGUCUGGCUUCUACACUAGUAACGGGUUUCGAACCCAAGACCUCUAGUUUUUAGUUUUAAGGAAGUCUCGUAAUCCGCCCUAUGUUACCCACCAACAAAGUAGUUCACAAAUAACGAGUUCGAUACUAAAUUUCACUUUUCGUCUCUUAAUUUUCAAGUGUGGCGAAUUUUGUUUGUAUAGUAGGUAAACUAGUUUUCGGUGGGUAAUGCGGGAUAACUCAAUUUUCAAAAGUAAAAGGUGUUUUAGAUGCACAUGGUUCCAAGUUGGAAUAAGUUCGGUAGCGGAUCAUGAAAUCUUAGUGAUAUUCUCUAUCUAAUGAAUAAGGAGACUGCUUUGAAAUCGUCUACCCUGCACCCACCCCUCAAGUAUAUGCUUCAACAAGAAUCACACAAGGUAGAUUGAUACAAUAGAAACCUCUGUAAACUUCCAACCCGUAAUCCAACUGAUAAAGUACAUUACAUAGUUCGUUUUAGGGAUUGACGACUUACCCGUUUAGUGACUUUAGUAUUUACCGUUUUUGGAAUGGAUAGCAUUUGACGUUUUUGGAAUGGAUACUAUCGUGGAUUCAUUAGAAUUGUAUAUCAUUAUAUUCUUUUUAUAUCUUUCUCUCACCCUUCCAUUUAUAUAUUAUACUUUAUAUGCUUUACAGCUCAUAAUGUAUUGCUUUACAACCCAUAAUCAGAUUUUUUUUUAAUGCAAAAAAGAUUUCAAUUGCUACAAUGAUAUGACUUAUAUAUCAUAUCUUGAUUGGCUUCUUUGCUUGCUUUUCUCGAUCAAGCAUUCAUGUGCUCAGCAAAGAGGUAAUAGCAUUUGGGAUGACAAUAAAUUAUUAUUUUUCGUUAAUUAAUUAUUUUAGUAUUUAAUAUUUUGAUUAAAUUAUUAUUUUUUAAAUGCAUAGAAAAAUUAUUAUUUUUGCCACGUGACACAAAUUUGGUAGUCACGGCAGCACAAAUGUGGAUCCCAUAUUUGCCACAUCAUCACUUAACGGUUUACUUAAUGGAUUUUCUAAUGUACGUAUGAAAUUGAAAUAAAAUGGUAAGUAUAUAUAUGAAAUUGAAAUGUUUUAAAGAUGUUGUAUGAGAUUGUAGUCGACCCCAAACCUAAGGGGGUAAAAUGUAAUAUACCCUAAAUUAUUUGAGCUUUGUGUGUAUGUGUACACACACAUAUAAUAUAUAUAUAUAUAUAUAUAUAUAUAUAUAUAUGUAUGUAUUUAUAUAUAUGUAUGUAUGUAUGUGUGUGUGUGUGUGUGUGUGUGUGUGUGUGUGUGUAUUCCCCAGCGGUGGAUUAAUGUGUGUGUGUGUGUGUGUGUGUAUUCCCCAGCAGUGGAUUAAUGUCGGUCACAGAUUGACAGAGAGAAAAUGGCCAUGACCAAUGUCCAAGAAAUGUCUAUGGAUGGUGAGCAGCCACCUGCGGAAUAUAUUGUUAAAGAAAGUAGGUUUGGAUCCAUAGAUUCUUCUCCACCAUUGGCUGAUGAAAUCCCCAUCAUUGAUAUCAGUCUCUUCUCCCCAUCAUCUCCUCAAUAUUCUGAACAAGCAGAAAAUCAUGAGCUACAGAAA
RNAcentral lists this long non-coding RNA (71125 nucleotides) under Malus domestica (apple). Its description in RNAcentral is "long non-coding RNA (MDOM_LNC001293)". The record is from RNAcentral. Lineage: Eukaryota; Viridiplantae; Streptophyta; Magnoliopsida; Rosales; Rosaceae.